This 69046-nucleotide long non-coding RNA is filed under the name Aquilegia coerulea. RNAcentral describes it as "long non-coding RNA (ACOE_LNC001409)". The record is from RNAcentral. Lineage: Eukaryota; Viridiplantae; Streptophyta; Magnoliopsida; Ranunculales; Ranunculaceae.
AAUUUAAUUAGUUUAUGAAUAAAAAAGACCAGGAGACAUGAUGGCGUUUAGUCGGUUGAUUGUCAUAAUAGGGUUGCCUUAAAAAAAAAGUAUUUCAAGCUCAAAUUGCAGGGUGGGCAAAGUAGUAAUAUAUCUAGAAGGUUCUCUACGAAUGUUGUAAACAAAAUGAAGUAUUUCAAAGAGAAUGCCUUUGAUUCUCUCAAGUGGAUUUGUUUAUCACUGAAAUUGAAUACAAACACAAUUGUUUUAGCCAUCUUAGUUAUAUGAGCAACAUCAGCGCACACUCACUCAACGAUCACUGAUGUUGUGAUUCAUAUUUAACCCAUUUGUGAUCAAUAGGCAAUAAGAACAUACUAUAUAUAUAAGCAAACCCCAUUGAGUCGUUAUCUCACCAAAAUCAAUUUUUUGUAGGUUCAUUUCACCAACUAUAUUAAUUAUUUCCUUGAUUACAUUCAACAUAAGAUGAAAUAUGAAACUCUCUCUCUACUAAUCCAAGUUACAACCCAUAAAUAUCUUUGUAGAUUUAAGUUUGAUAUGGUAGGAUGUGGAGAAUAAGUGAGAAGGCGCUAAGGUGAAAUACCCGACAUCUCAAUGGCUAGCAUAUUCCUUCCAUGAGACUAAUUUCAUUCCAUACGAAUGUGCUUCAUUUUUAUUUAGUAUAUGAGACGUUUGUUCAUAUUAUAUUUUUUCCCAUAUGCAUGAGGUAAAAUAUAAACCCAUUUCUGAGUGAUUUUCUUUGUGAGUGUAUGCCAUGUGAGGAUUAAAGUCAAAGCAAAAUUUCGGAGAGUUAUUUGAGAUAUAGUUGAUUAUGUACAUCAUGCAUACUUGAAGAGGUGAUUAUGUUGUUAAUGCAUUAUCUCAUACACUUGCACUAUAUAAUUUCUACAUAUGGAAAAACUUAAUUAUUUGUUCUUAUCUACUUAGUCAUUGAAUUGAUUGACAUUUCUGAAUAGUGUAGGGUAUUAGGCCGAUCAUUUGCAUCUUGCAUGUUUUCAUCUCAUUUGCAUGAAGUUUAUGGGUAUCUUCUCAGAAAAGUGCCAUGUUUUCAUCUCAUUUCCAUGUAGGAUAUUUUAACUAUUUAAAAAUUAAAUUUUAUCAUAAUGUACACCAUAUUUUGGGAAAAAGUAAAACCUUAAGUUUUAACAUUUAUUUUAAAACCAACCAUUGGAAACUCUAAAACUAUUAAUCACUUUUAACAUUAAGUUUAUGUUAAAACCUUUUGUCUCUCUCCUAUGUGGCAUCCCUAAAACCUUUUUACCAUUGGGAAUGCUCUUAAGGUUUAAGAGCAAUAAAAGUAUGUUUUUCUUAUUGAUGAUGACUUGUUCCUCAUCAAUCGAAAGUUAAACCCUUAGGGGAUAAGUAGCCUCCAUUGAUGAAAUCAUGAUAUUUUAAUAUAGAUUUUAUGCUUGUUCUUCAUUGAAUCAUUUUCAUGCAAAAUAGUAAUAAUAAUACUUUCAUGUUACCGUAUCGAGAGAGAAGUAAUAUGUUAUUUUAUCUUUUUUAGUGUUUUUGUAUGUCUACCAUGCCUACACACUUAAUACUUACAAUACCCGAGAGGUGAGUACAUAAUAGGGUUUCAAUAUAAACUUGGAUUGCUUAGAAGAUGACAUAUGUACACUUGCAUGGGUGGAACCAUAUGAUUGAUUAGUUAGUGUUUUGUCGCUUUGGGCUUCAUCCACUCCAUUCAUGCAUCUCAAGUAAAAUAGUUAGACGCAAUAAUUGAGAGGUGAGUGUUUAUCUAUCCCGACAAUAGCUGAGAGGUGAGCUGGAGAGCUACAAUAGUUGAAAGGUGAGUAACUAAGAACAUGCAUAUUAACUAGAUUAGUAUUAUGGUGGACUCAUGAGGUGAACAUGUCCCCUAUUCCCUUUAUUGAUCUUACCCCGUUUAGUAGUCGUAAUUAGAUUAGAAUUAGUUAACUUAGUUUAUUAUAAUUUCUCUACAAAAUAUUAUGACAUCUCCUUGGUAGCUUAUUUGUUUCUUUUUUAUUAGAGUGGAUUGCUACCCUUCUUUGCAGCUAUACAUCGAAUCCUUGGAAGGUUAUUGUUAUAAUGGUAUUGAGUCAAUGACAACAUCUCAUUAUUCAUCAAUCACAUCAACAUCCGUAUCCAUCUCAACCAUACUCAAUACCAUUACAACACGGCCAAGCUUUCCUUGUCAGAAUCCUGGCCAACAGGAUCAGCUCCCAGUAACCUUGUCAGAGUCCAUCCGGCACAAUCAGCUCCCGUAUGGUCUAGGUUAGAGAUUUGUGGUACAUGCACCCACAAUAUUCCUCAUGGAAAUUAGCACAGCUGAGAUGGGUUUGGUUGAGAAAUUCACAUUUUUAAGUCUACAACAUGGUCAAGAAACAAUAAAUUUUACAGGACUGCUCUUACUUCUCUUUCCACUCUCGGUCAGCUUUAGUGUUGUUCUUCCCCGAUAAUCUUGACCAUAUAAUUUUAAUUUAUUAAGCUGUUGUGUUUUUGUUACUAGACUAGCUUAAGGUCAUAUUACUCAUCAUCAUUGAUUUAAAUUAAUUUGAGCACUGUCGUUAAGUUUUUUGUAGUCUCACAAGAAAUAGAAAAUUUAGGUUGUGGCCCCAUUUUGUAUAUUGGGACGAGGGCCCAAUCACAAAAUGCCAAUGUUAUAAAAAAUUUAUUUAAUUAUUAGAUAGCACCUAUGUAUGGGUGUAGUGAACCCUACUAUGGAUGCGACCCAUAUUUCAAGCAAUGCCGUAAUGUUGCUUCUAUAGCUAAGGAUAUAUGUCAAGAUAAUUCAGCAUAAUAUAAAAAAACAUAAAUAAUUUUGGAUUUCUUGGUACAUUUCGAGAUACGAGAAAUUAGUAUUGUACUCAUUUAUAAUGUCAGGCGAUGACUUAUAGGUGUGGCCGUUUGGGGGUGUGGCUGGGGUGGGUCCUAGUUCAAACACAAAUUUAUGGCCACUUUUACAUUGGAAAUGCAUUGAGUUUCAUUUUUGUUGUGCGAUAUGCAACUUAUCUUCAAUUUUGGUAGAUUUUGUUGGGGGUCGAGCAGUUUUUGCUUAACGACACUACCGAAAACUUGUUGAACAUCGUUUGUUGCCAGACCAAUGUGAAAUAAAGAUUUUUUUUUUUUUUUUUUUUAAAAGUUUUUAUUUUUAAUUUUUAGAUUAAAUCCAUCUAUGUUUGGUUUUCAUUUUUAGUGUAGUCAUUUCGGAGAGAGAAUAUUUGGUUAAGUGCAUGUCCAACUUUAAUAAUAGAAAAUAUAGAUGAAAUUGCAAAGAAAGUCUUUAAACUGUAACCCACUUAUUAAUAUUGUAUAAGUGCAUUACUCAUCUUUCCUAAAUUUAGAGUAAACUAAAUUCUCUUCAAUCUCAAUAAAAAGUGACUAUAGAUACUAACCUAAAAAAAUAAAUGCUUAGAGUAAUUACAUACUAACCAAAGAAAAUAGUUAUAGAUUUUUAGCUUUUGUUAUAGUUUAAUCAUAUUGCAACAAAUAAGGCUUGUUGAGUGCUAUAAGCUAAACAUCUUUUAAAGUACAACCAACAUUAUCAACUGCAUUAAAUAAUUUGGAAUGUGCACCAAAACUUUUGUUGAUUACUAAGUGAAUACAAUUCAUUAAUUAUCUAAUACUCUUUAUAAAUUAGAUUUUUUGAAUAACAUAAUAAAAAAUAUUAAAUAACAAUACCUUGAGAUGGUCCAAUUGUUAAUAUUUUAAUAUGUUGGGCAUGAAAUACUCCAAAUAAAAUUGCUUCUUUAAAAUGUUUUUACCUGAAAAAUCUUUUAAUCUCCCAAGCUUAGCUAUGUAGUGAACAUACUGUCAUUUUUUUAGGGGGUAAAGUUUAUCAAUGUUUGUUUUACCAAUUUUUAAGAUCAUUGGAGUAACAUUUUCAAUUGAUGAAUAGACAUAUGGGCUAUUGUUAUCGCCUUAUCGGCUGAGUAAACUGUCAAUAUUUCCUAUUGUUAUAUAUACAUGUCAUCCUGCUUUUUGGAGAAGUUGAACCACCUAUUUGCUUACAACGUCAUGGUCUAAGUAGAUUUUGUAGGUGGUUCUUCCUCCUUGUUGGAAGAUCAAACCACUAAUAAAAAUACAAAAACUGCACCAAAAAUGAGUUUAAUGAAGAAAAAUAAAGAAUGAUCAAAUGCAAGAAGAUGAAAUACUUAAGUAUGUGAAAGUUGAUUUUAAGCAUACCUCUUAAUUUCUAGACUUCUUCUGGCAAAAGAUAUGCAGCAAAUCCAUUCAAGUUUUUGAUGACUUUCAACAAUCUUUUCUCUUCACUGCAAAACAUUUAAACAACGAAAAUAAAGAGAAAUUAAAACAAAUAAUAAACUUAUUCUAAUUUAUACUUAAUUGUUUAAAAAAACACUAAUUUAUAUACUUACAUUGUUGUUUUCUUAAGAAGUUGAACAACCAUUUCUCUACUCCAAACUUCAUGGUCUAAGUAAACCAUGUCUACUCCCAACUUCAUGGUAUAAUUAAGUAGACCAUGUAGGUGUUUCUUCCUCCAUGUUGGGAGGAAGAAACUACAAAUGAAAAUACAAAAUUGGUAAAAAAAAUGGUUUUUCACGAUGAAGAAGAAAUGAAGAAUCGACGAUGUGAUCAUGAUGGAAGAUAAAAUACUUAAAUAUGUAAAAGUUGAUUCUUAGCCAUAAUUAGUGAAGACUCACAAAAACACGUUUAUGUAAAUUCAUGAAUGUGUUUUUUGAGUAUAUAUCAAUACAUGUAGGCUAAUCACUUUUAAGUUGGUUACUAAUUUAGGGAACUACUUGCUUCCAAUUAUUGUUUACAAAAGUAUGUAUUGCAAAGGAAGAAAAACAAAAUGUUUUUUAUAACAGUUUAUUGUAACAGGGUGAUCAUGAGAUAAUGUAUGUAUUCUUUAUAUCCAAUAAUAAAGCUUUUUUAUCCAUCAAAACAAAUAAAGAUUUUUGUCUAUCAAAGUAAAAAUAAUUUACAUGAAAAACUUUAAAAUUGUGUUUGCGAUAAAAAAGAGACAUAGGAAGAAGCUUGAAGAACUCAAGCCUUCUAGAAAACUCUCAUUGCAAUUACUACAACAUGGAGAUUAGAAUGCAAACUGAGAUUGUUAGUUUGUUAGAUCCUAUAUUGGAUCAUAUAAAAAUAUUAUAUUAUAUUUGACACUUAAAAUAUAACAUUUAACAUUAGAUAAUAUUGGCAAUAUAAUAUAAUAUUGAUAAUAAUAUAACAUUUUUACAUGAUCCAACGUAGGAUUAUUCAUAAGCCGUCACAUUAUAUAAAAAUGUUAUACGUUCGAUUUCAAAAAAUUCAUAUAUAAUUGUCCAAUUUAAAGUGUAUUUUCAUUAUUAAAAUUCUUAUAUGACUGUCAAAAUGGUCAAAUCGGGUUAAGUAGAUUGUCAAAACUAACAAGUAGCUCUAAAAAAAUUUACAAUCUCGAUUACACGCAUUUGUUUUGGAUGAUUUGUUGACACAUGCAAAUAUGCUUUUUGAGCCUCACCCAUCACAACUCAGUACUCACAAGGAGGACCAUUCAUAAUGGAUACUGUACAAUCAAGAAUCAAACAUCAAAACACUUGGUACGACGGAGAUUGAUAUAUGUUUUGAGGAUUUUACUGUCACCGUGUAAGUUGACCUCUUGUUUUCCACAUUUUUUUACGGUUCGGUAAAAUAUCGUUGAAAACCUUGUUGUUGUAGCACAAAGGUGGAGUUGGAUGAAAAAGUAAUUUAGCUCAUCUGAACCUUGUGCUAGUGAGACGUUAUUUGAGCAACCUGAAUGAUUGAAACCCCCCAUGCAAAGGAACAAGAUAUGGGAGCUUGGUGUUAUGUCAUAGACAAAACCUGGAUCUAAUGCCCUGACUGGGUCAACAUUUCCGGACCCAUAAGCGAGUUCUGUAUCAUAUUUAUGAAUUCCUCUAAUCUCAGUAGUUGCAAUAUAUCCAUAAAAGAAAAAAAAAAUGAUCAGAUAAUUAGACUUUGAACAUACAUUUCAAAAAUGAAUAUAUCCAGACCUUACAAGACUAAGCCACCCAUCUACAUUAACAACUCUAGGCAUCAAAUUUCCUACAAUCUGAUAUUCUUCUACUUCAACCCUAGUGUUCCUGGCCAUAACUUAUUUCUUAAAAAACUUUCAAACACAAUAGCAGACACAGAACAAGAAAGUAAUAACAAUUCGUAGUUAAUUUUAUAUGCCCGUUAUCCCCUAUUUAUAGCAAAAUACACACUCACGUUCACUUAAUGAUGCCCUAUCGACCUUCCUUGAUUUUCUCAAAGACGCGUCGGUGACCGAGGCAACUCUUCAAAUUCCCACAGAUAACUACUUUUCCGCCAAAACUUGCUAACAUGUCAGUACUUACUUAUAAUAGAACUAAAAACCAUCUCAUCAAACCAUGACAUCAAUCACCUUUUCAAUCACAUCAUUUGGGGACUAUGAUCACUGAAUGUGUAAUGGUAAAUUUUAGUAUUCUUGAGGAUCCUAGAAAGAAUCUUAGAAGAGGGGCUAACCUAAGACGUAGGAUUAGCCUCUGGAUGGCCAGAAGAACCAGGAUACCACUUGAUAGACUUAUCUAGAAGGUCCUAGACAGGCUUGAUGCCCAAAGAAGGAAUCCAAGUCCAAGAAGGAAUAAGCAACCGACCUAGGUUUUGUAUUUAGAAACCCUUCUAGAAAGACUUCUAGUGCAUAAGGAAACCUAUGUAAAUAAAAAUUCUAGUCUUAGAAGGAUUCUAGACCGACAUGGUACACACAAGGAAGGUUCCUAUGCCCAUGGAACUCUUCCACAAGAAGAAGAUGAUCGACUUAGUACCCUAUAUAAAGACAACCUCGCCAAGACAUAAAGGUAACGAAUUCUAGCCAGACAAACUAGGGUUUAAUAAUCUUUCUUGCUGACUUGAGCGUCGGAGUGCCUACGGCCACACCACCCCCGGUAUGUCAUUGGGUUUCUAACAUUGUUUAGCAGGUUUCGAGUUAAAGAUGAUCAUUGGGAGCUAAGUUGAAGAUUGAUUGUUGGUGGGAGCAGAAAACAUCCUCCAUAAUUUGACACUGACUGAAGGGAGGCAACAUUAGACUUGUGUUGUAUCUACAAAUUUGGAUUUUUUAGAAGAUCGCCAUGGCUCCUUCAACAAGGAACAAAAACGCAUUAACUUCACAACAAGAAGAAGUUCCACAUGAAGAACAACUUUAACAACAAGAACAGCGAGAGCAACAUGAGGAGGAAGAAUCAUUAGAAGAGCAAGUUCCAGAAAAAGAAAAAAAAACUCGUCAGACUUCAGAUCUAAUCUAAGAAGCGGAUACUAGACAUGAAGAGAAAAUCCGUGUAAUGGAAGAUCAACACAUGAAUCAAGUAGAAUAUCUCACCGUGAAGGUUAGGAAGAUGAUAACUUAAGGAAAGAAGCCAACUGUCCAAGAGGAAGCUAGACCUUCUAGAAAAAAUAACAAUCUUGAAAAAGAAAUGGUUGAGGUAGAAAUAAAGUCAGGAGCAAGAACAUGGAUGCUAGAAGCUAUCUCAAUCCUGAAGAAAGAAACAAGAACAAGUGCCAAAGAUCGGAUUCGCAGAAGAAAUCGCCACAAGGAUCCUGGAUCCUCAGAUUCAGAUUCCGGCUUGUCCACAUCUUCCAACGAGGAUCCCAAGCAGAGAAGGCGAACACGCAAUUAUGCAGAAAAAAGGAAGACAUAAGCUAUUCAACCAUUGGGACCUACUCAUAUGACCCAAGAAAACCCCCCACAAAGAAGCAACAUGAUGGACGAACUCUUUGUGACAAUGACUAUACAUGGAACCAAUGUAAGUCCAUAUUGAAUACCUUCAAUAUGCCCUAGAAAAGAAUUAGAAUAAUAGGGCUUAGAAGAUACACUUAGUAAAUCUAGGGGGAUUAAUUAAGCUCUAAAUUUGGGGGUGGUGUGGCCAAAGGUUCAGGCCGACAUGUUUUCUUUUCUAUACAUGAUCUUGAUCUUCAUCCCGUAGUCGAGGGUUCGAUCCCUUUAGUCGACGCCAAAUUGUGGAGGAUGUUUUCUGCUUCCUCCAACAAUCAAUCUUCAACUUAGCUCCCAAUAUUCACCUACAACUUGGAACCUGCAAAACAAUAUGAUAGAAACCCAAGGACACACCGAGGGUGGUGUGGUCGUAGGUACUUCGACGCUCAAGUUAGUAAGGAAGAUGAUUAAACCCUAGUUUGUUUGGCUAGAAUUUGUUACCUUUGUGUCUUGGUGAGGUUGUCUUUAAAUUGGGUCCUAAGUCGGUCAUCUUCUACUUGUGGAAGAGUUCCAAUGAGCCUAGGAACUUUCCUUGUGUAUACCAUAUCGGCCUGGAAUCAUAUGCUUCUAAGUCUACGAUUGUUAUUUUCAUGGGUUUUUAUACACGCUAAAAGUUUUUCUAGAAGGGUUUCUAAAUAAGAAACCUAGGACGGUUCCUUAUUCCUUCUUGGACUUGGAUUCCUUCCUUGGGCGUCAAGUCUAUCUAGGACAUUCUAAAACCUUCUAGAUAAGUCUAUCAACUUGGUUCUGAUCCUUCUGGCCAUCCAGAGGCUAAUCCUACAUCUUAGGUUAGCUUCAGGAGUUCUACUCAAGUUCCUCAAAUACUCAUGUAUCCUGACUAGUUUCCUGAGGUUAGCCUAGGUUCAUGGAUGUCUUCCAGUCCUGUAUUUUGUAUGAUCUUUUUUUUCUAAGAUUCUGUCUAGAAUCCUCAAGAAUACCAAAAUUUACCCCUACACUUUAUAGUGUUUCGGGCGUACAUCCACUCUCAAAGAGGCAUUAUCUAGCCUUUAGAAAUGCAAUUAAAGCAAACCGGUUACACCUAGUACACCACUUAUUUAACCACAAGUCACCCUUGUGAGAUCUCUAACUUCUCAAAACUUUGAGUACGUAGAGAUACCCUAAUCCUUAACCUAGAUCAAUCUAGAGUUUCACCUUUUAAUUAGUUACAACUAGAAUCAAUCAAUGAAGAUACCCUUCUUAAAUGUUUUCUCAAUAGAAAGUAAAGAGUACAGUAAAUAAAGCUCAAUUGUUGAGUGAAUGAAUCUCAACACUACAACCACACACCUCACAAAAGAGUAGGUGUUAAUGACGAUGGUGGUGUUGUAUUAAUGGGGUAUGGAUGGAUUCUAAGUAAUUGCUUAUCUAGGGUUUGAUAUGUCUUUAGAUUUGUAGAGCAAACACUAUCAAAGCUUCUUCAAGAUUUCUCUUGUCUUAAAUAAGACAACAAAACCAAAUAGAUCUGUUGGUCAAACGAGGUUGACAGGUUCUACAAGUCUGGGGUCAAGUCAACCUUUUACCCAACAUUAGUAGGAGUUGUUCAAGCGCCUUAGCCUUAAAGUCUAUCAGCCUUUAUGAUUUUCACUGAAUGAGGCUUCAAUUCUUCUGGGGUCUUAAUGUCUUCAAUAUCUUGAGUCUUCGUGGUUUUCAGAUGUCUUUAAUGUCUUCAUACAAAAACAUUCCUCGUAGAGACUCACAACAUGUAAGUUUACAUAUUAUAACUUUAAUACCCUUGGCAUAAUUCACAAUACAUACAAAUAUGACUUUACAUAAGGCACUUAGGCAUAAGCCUAUCAAUGGAUCGGUUUGAUUUGGAUCUCGCACUGAUCCGAACUGAUCCACUUUAUUAUUAUUCGAACCGAUCCAAUUUAAGAAUGGAUUGUAAGAGUUGGAUAGUAAACCGAUCCGAAAAUAAUACUGGAUAAUCCGACCCGAUCCGAAUCGAUCCAAAUUGUUUUUUUCGAGCUUUUACUGAUUUAGAUGAAUUACUUGACUGGACGAUUUUGAGAGAGAGAGAGAAAGAGAGAGAGAGAGAGAUUCAAAUUAUCAAGCUUCAACCUUAAAAAUUACUAAUUGUUAUUGAAGAAGAACAUUUGAUCUCCACCGUCACCGAGCUCACUUAAACUGAACUAGAUUUCAAUCCCGCCAUUAAUUGUGCUACAAUUGGUUCAAAGAUUGUUUGCACCAAGCAACAAUUUUGCAGGUUGAGAAGUACUAGAAUAAGAAAAAUAGCCUUUAUAAUGAAUUUUAUAUUUAAGAGAAGAUUAAGUGAAAUUGAUGAGAUGGUUUUACGAUGAAUGAGGAAGAUCAAUUUAGCUUGCCAAGCUUCAAACUUUGAACUUGAAAUUGCUGGUUAUAUUAAAGAUAAUUUGAUCUCCAUUGAAAGCUUCAAGCUUAUGAGAGACCGAGAUAAUUGGAAGAAUUGUGGUUUUUUGGAACCAAGAGAUAAGGAGAUGAUGAUGGAUCAAUAGAAAUAUUAGUAUCACUAAAACACGCACUAUCGGAUCGGAUCAGUUUUUCCUUUGAUAUUAUCUGAACCAAACCGAAAUUGAAAUGGAUAUCCAAAAACCAUUUCAAGUGGUCCGAAAUCCAAAUGGAUAUCCAAAACUCCAAAAAUAACGGAUCAAAACGGUUUUGGAUAGGUGAUCCAUAGGUUUGGAUAGUUGAUAGCCCUACUUAGGCACACCUGACACUACCUUGGUCGGUGGUGCCUAGCCUCAAGCCACAACCACGGCCAGUUGUUGUUUUGCACAUUUUGUCCAGGCGUGAGGUGUACAAACAUUUUUGAAUCCUUAAUUAAAUGAUCUCAACCAGAGUCCAAGUACACUACACACACUUCAUACCACCUCCACAAAUCAGGGACCUUGUCAUUUCGACAAACAGACUAAAGAUUUAUGUGAAUCAACAUUUUGCCUUUUAUUUUUCUCUUGAUUCAUUACCAAACAUUAAAAUAUACUUUUAUACAUGCAUUCCACAAUCCUUGCUUAUAGAUAGUCACAUCAGUCGUCCAGAGUCUAAAACUUAGUCCAUCUUCUUCAUCAUAGUUGCACACCUGCUGUAAGCCCGUAAUCCUAAAAUUAAUUUAAAAUACAAAUAUAUAGUAAUACAAUAAAGGCAUCUUGGACAAGAAACUAAGCUUUUACAGCUAGAAGUUGGAUAUGUACACCAAUAGAAUUAGACCUGGGAUGCUCUGGGCUUGGUGACCUCGUAGUGUUUCUGCAUUUUAGUUGAACUUGUAACCAAAAUUUGCCUCAAGAUAGCUUACUCUGCACGGUGUUUUUAUUUUAUUUUUUCCAAAACAAUUUUUUUUUUUUUUUAGAAGAAAACCUAUUUUAUUUUAUUAUUUUAUUGUAAUGGUAAGCAUGUUUCAAUGAGAUCAGUAACUCAAAGAUGCACUUUUGCAAUCGAACUCCAGACCUCUGGUAUCAUCGCCCAGAGGUAUUACCAACUGGGCUCAGCUGGCACUACAAAUAAAAAUGUUGUGGUAAUCCUGCUUUUAAUGAGAACAUUAACUCAAUAAUGUUGGCGGAAUUCGAAUCCCAGACCUCUGGUAUCAUCACCCAAAGGUUUUACCAGUUGAACCCAACUGGCACCUUCGUAUUGAUGCGACCUGAAACAAUACUAUUUAAAUAAUAUAUUUUUAUUAUUUUUUAGAGGAUUUGUUUUAAAGUAAAAAACAAAGUCAAAAGUCCAAAAUAAUAAAAGUACCUUAGUAUAAGCAUGUAAAAUGUUAUUGGAUUAUAGACCUAUAAUAAAAAAAAAAAUCGAGAACUGAACCGGACCAGACCAAUUGGAUUUUUAGGUCUAUAUUAGGUCGGUUUGGUCCUGAUCCUACAACUACCUUGGACCAACCGGACCGAUGCCCACCACUAGUGUUUAGGUUGUUCAGUCAACUAUUAACAUAAUAAACUGACGUUAAAAGAGAUAAAUCUUAACAAAAUUCAUUAUAACUAAAAUUGAACACCAACAGCUAUUGCAUUUUGAGUCUUGUAUAACAAGGAGAUAUCUUUAUUUUAUACUAUACAAGAACCUACCCAUAAAAAAAAUAUUCUCUCACCUAACUGGCUAAAAUUGAUAGCCUAAUUGAGAAGCAUUUCAAUCCAAUUUAGAUAGAUUAGUAAUUUUACAAUUCAUUUUUAGGGGCCUUCAAUGUAAUUUCACACUCUAUCAUAAUUAUCUUCCUUAUCAUUAUUCUUUUCUAUAUAAUAAUUACAUACCUUGGUUAUUGGUAAAAUUAAAACAAGUCAUAAAUAAAUAAAUAAAAUACACACCAUUUGUAUUGUUUCAUCACACUCACACAUCAUUCUCCUAAAAUACCAUUUUCGCAAAUCAACUAAUUUUUUUAUAACUGAUGAACACGUAAUAUCUAUAAUUAUUACAUCCCUAUUUACACUAGUUAGUCUAUUUAAUUAAUAUAUUUGAUCUAAAUAAGGUAUUUUUAUGUUUUGAUAGGAAUAAGAGCUUAUUGCAUGAAAGUAGCAGAAAGAUCGUGAUUUGGUGCAUAAUGAAGCGGGUUUGAAAUUCGUGUUAAAGCCCAUUCAUUUCAGUGUUUAUUGGACUUGGCCCAAUUAGAAUGGAUACCACAUGGACAUACGGCCACAUGAAAGGGAAAGAGAAAUAUUGACAAGAAUCAUGGCAGUUGAAAAUAUCAUUACGAUACAAUGGUCCACAUCCCAUUAAAACAACCAUUCAUACUUUGGACCAUUUCAACUAUUCUCAUUCAACUUUGAUUUCAACGUAUCCAAAGUCCCAAACUCAUUUUCUCUCUACCAUUUAAUGUUCCAAAACUUUACUCCCCUUUUCAAACCAAUAAAUAGUACAAAGUACUAUUUACAUAUCACCUCACCAAACCAAAUCUCUCACAUUUUUCUUUCAUUCAUUUUACCAAGACAACUAUUCCAUCAACAUUACACUAUUACAUUUACCAAAUCAAUUGGAACCAUUGAAAAACACAUGAGAAAAGUUUUGGUAUCUACUUGUUGAAGUCUUAUAUAGUGGCUAUAGGUGGUGUUAUAGGAGUGGCUAUGUGGCUAUUAAAUGAAGAAGAAGACCAUGCUUGCUUUCUACGUGAUUGCAUGAAUCUCAUUGCCUAUAUAAAGACAUGCAUAUCAUUUGCUUGGAGGAGGAGUUUGGGGGGAGAUACAAAGUGGAGUAAGCUAGAACCUUGUAAGCUUAGCAAUAUAUAAUGAAAGUUACACUCUUUUGUAUUUUUAUCUUCCAUUAUGAAUAGCUAAUGUAGGGGUACUACAUACUCCGACCAAUUAAAAGCAGCCACGUGGCACAGUCAUCCAUCCAUCAGGUCGCCACGGUCUCUACCUGCUAGCAGCUCGACUAAAGCGACCCGAUUACACAACGAGCAGCGACCUGCUAUACACACGUGCUCUUAUUCAAUGCACAGAAUAUUCUCAUCAGUUACAUAAUUAAUUCACAGGGAUGAUCCUCGCGCGUUACACAUUUAAUCCUCAUUAUGGUGACGGAGAAUCUGCAAGAUCCACGAUCCACGCCCUUCUAUCUUCUAUAUAAACAGAACUACGAUGGCUUGAUCUCUAAGUUCAAUUCCCCCGAGCUAGAGUACGUAGGCAAUCUCGAUCUCAACGAGGUGCAGCCACCCCGAUCUCAAACAUCCCCAUUUGGUCAAGUCUUCCCAACGACCUGACCCAGCAGUGCAUUAAUCUAGAAAUAGGUUAAUACAGCUAAAUUAUUUAACUAGGAUUGAGGAGGAAACUAUCAUUAUGAAUAUCUGCCUUUCAUUUUAGUAUUUAACGAUUACUAAUCUUGCUUUAUUUGAUAUAAGCUUUGGUUUUGUAAUUCCCUAACUCAAUUUCUUUGAUUAUGUAUAUUUCUGUUUGAUAAAUCAUACUUAGAUUAAAUUCUUUGAUGGUUUAUACUUAUGUUGAUACAUAAUUCUUAGAGUUGUUGUUUUUGAAAGCGAAGAAGAUUAAACUUAUUUGCUUCUAUUUUUAAAAUAAAAUUAAACGUUGUAUUUUCCAUAUCAUUAUUAUUGAUUUAUAAUAAUGAUAUGAGUUAUAGAAAAAGAUUAAUUAGUGGAGAAUAGGUUUUGUCGAAUAUGAAUAGUGAUGGUGGAAUCCAAUAUAUCCUAGUGUUUCUCUUAAUUAUUUGAAUCUUAUAUUUUACUGUUUUCGUUUAAUUAGUUAUAAUUCAGAAUCUCAUUAUAAAAAGUUUACUAGGAUUAAAAUUUAGUUAGUCUUACAUUUGAUUUUUAUAUGUCCUGUCCUCGUGGAUCGAUUCGUACUUGUUCUAUUUAUUUCGAUAAAUCGUGUGAUUACGAUAUUAUUAAGUGUUUUCACGACAAUCAAAUUGGCGCCGUUGCCGAGGACAAGUAAAAGUACUAAAAGUCAAAUAUUAGCUAAUUAGAUAUUUCUCUCUAGUAUUAUUUAUCUAAUUAAACAAACAAAACAAAACAAAAAUUAGAAAUUAUUUUAUUUUCUAGUCAUUUUUAUCUUUUUACGCUCUUUGGUAUUAGUGACUGUUUUUGCAGGACAGCAGUAGAAAUCAGACCAUCAGACGGACUUUUAGAGAUCCGAUUGAGCUGAAAUUUUUACACAAGGUUCCCCAGACAGUCAGGAACGUCCUGGAAGUUUUCCAGAAUUUUUGAGGACAUUCUUCCUGCCGAACUACACUGACCAGCAAAGUGCCAAAACCUUUUAUUUAUUUUUUCAAUUUUAUUUGCAACUUUGCAAUAUUUAUUUUAAAUUUGUAAUAUUAAGAAGGACAACAAGGGAUUAAUAGGCGAUUGGCUCGCUUGUUUCUGCACUUGGUUCGAAAACUAGAAUCAUUCUGGUGGCUAGCAAGCUAAGGUGAGCUUAUAUUUUUCUUAGCCGCGAAUCUCUUGUUAGCGGUUAAAUUUUUGUGUGGUGUUUUAUGCAAUUUACUUUAUCAUCUUUUAUUUAUUUUUAGGUUUCAAUUAUUAGGUUGUGAGAACCUCUUGAAAGGAAGCAACUGCUAGCCACUCUAUUGAGAAUCAAUCUCCCUUUUGGUUUGGACAAGUGUGUUUCACGACAAUCAAUAACAUGUCUCAAAAGUUCUAUAGUAUGUAUUAACUAUUUUUUCUUUACCUAUACAAGAAAAUAUCCUUAAAAAAUCUCUCUCCAAAAUAACAUAAAUUAAUAGUACAUUUCGCAAGAAUAACAAUUCAAAAUAGCAUAACCGGUAUUACCCCAAUCAUACAAAUAAUUGUAAUCGAUUUGCCCAUCUUCAAAAUGACUUAAAUUGAUAACCUUUACAAGCAUUUUUAUCUAAUUGAUAUAAUUCUUAACGACUCUAAAUAGUCAGUACUCAGUAGCAAGUCUUCACAAAAAUUGCAAUUUAAUUUUCCUCUCUCCACAAUUAAUAGCCCAGAUCGCAAGAAUUUGUAAUUUUUUUUUUUUUUUGGUUAAAAAGUACUUUCAUAUAUGAAGUAAACAAAUAAGUUCUAUAGAGUUUAACACUAUAUCAGGGUAAGGUCCCAUGACCAUCUGGUAUAGAGCCCAUCUGGCUACUUUAUUGGCCUCCCUGUUACAGACUCUACUAUGCGAAAAAUUUGUAAUCUGAUUUUUUUCUUUUUCCAAAAUAAUAUCAUUGGUAGUCGAAUUUACAAGCAUUGAUAUCCACUUUGGAUAAUUUUUAAACGGGUCUCAAAUCCUUCUUCUUUACAAUAUAACGAAGCACACUUAAGAAAUACCCUCUCUCCAAAAUAAUAAAAAUGGAUAUUGUAAUCCACGAGAAAUAUAACUCAAAUAUUAUCUCCAAAAUAUCAUAAUCACAAGAAUUGCGGUUCAAUUUUUCUCUCUUCAAAAUGGCAUAGGUUGAAAGCCUAACUUACAUGUAUUGCAAUUCAAGUUUGAUAACUUUUAUAAUGAGUCUUAAACAACGGGUCACAAAUCUUUCUCUUCGAAAUAAAACACAAUAAUACAAAUGAACUGUCCUACUAGCCCUGCCAACUUUAGACUAAUCAGUUUGUGCAACUUUUGUUUUAAGAUCAUCUCUAAACUAUUGGCUAAUAGACUCAAAUCCUUCUUAGAUAGGUUCAUCUCACCUUUUCAAGGUGCCUUUGUUAAAGGUAGAAACAUAGGUGAAAACUCAGCCAUUGUCCAUGUUUUCCAUCAAAUAAAAACUAUGAAAAAAAAAAAAAAAAAAAAAAAAAAAACCUGGUGGAUGGCAGUGAAAAUGGGCAUGUCCAAGGCUUAUGAUAGAGUGGAGUGGAUCUAAUCAUGAAUAUUUUAGAAAAACUAGGGUUUGGAGUGAAAUGGAGACACCUUGUACUUCAAUGUUUGUCUACGGUUAACUUUAAUGUUUUGAUCAAUGGAAAGCCUAGUCACAGCUUUGCACUAGGCAGGGGUCUCAGACAAGGAGACCCCUUAUCUCCAUACUUUUUUAUCCUUGUCAGCGAAGCCCUUUAAAGAAUGAUUGUGAAAGCUGAAGAAGGAAAUAGAAUUAGUGGGAUUAAAGCAAGAAAGAAUGCACCUGGUAUCACUCAUCUGUUAUAUGCAGAUGACCUAAUUUUAUUUUGUAAAGCUACCUUUGAGGAAGAAGGUAACUUGUUAGGGGUUAUUAAAGAUUACUGUAGGGAGUCAGACCAAGAAGUUAACUUUGAGAAGUCCUCAGCAUACUUUAGUGCUAAUGUCCACCAGAGGCACCAAGGGAUGUUGAGAAAAUUGUGGAAAGUGAAAAGCUUCAAUGUCAAAGAUCAAUACUUAGGAGUCCCUGUGAUGGUAGGAAGAUCUAAGGUUCAGGAUUUUCAAUUUCUAGUGGAUAAUGUUAAGAAGAAAGUGGCAGACUGGAGGGCCAAGGUCCUGUCACAAGUGGGCAGAACAGUUUUGAUCAAAGCUGUAGUUGCUGCCACCCCGAUUUACACUAUGGCAUCUUAUCCACUCCCAAUCUCUAUCACAGAUAAAAUCACUUCUAUCUGUAGAGAUUUUUGGUGGCAUGGUAAAGAGGGGUCUAAGUCUAUCACACAAUAGCAUGGGAUAAAUUAGAGAAACCAAAGUUAGAAAGGGGCUUGGGAUUUAGAAACUUUAAAGAUAUGAACCUAGCUCUCCUAACUAAACUUUGGUGGAAACUAAAAAAUGAUGAAGGAUCUGUUUGGGGCAACACUUCCAAAGCUAUUUACCCAAACUUGGAUUCACUUUGGAAAUCGAAAACCAAUAGUCCUAAAGAGGCUUUUUUUUUUUUUUGAGUAUGAUUAAGGCAGCAGAGAAUUUUGGCAAAGGACUUGUUAUCUGUAUAGGGAAUGGGAAAGACACAGCGUUUUGGAAGGAUCCUUGGAUAGUCUGGCAAGGGGUUCCAACAUGUUUGAAAGAACUUGUUGAUGACAUUCCCAGACCAGUUGACAAGGUAAUAAACUUUAUGGAUCCUGUGACUAGUGCUUGGAAUAUCCAGAUGUUUUUGGAUGUUCUCCCCCCACCUCUUGUCUCAAUCAUUUCACAUAUCCCUCUAAGACAUCAUUCUAUUGAUGAUUCUUUUAAGUGGAAUGUUGCUGAUUAUGGAGUUUUCUCAUCCAAAUCUACUUACUACCUAACCAACCAUAGAGCUACUUCUUCCAGCAAUCCCUGAGUUGAAAAAAAACUUGUUUAAGAAACUUUGGAAUCUGAAGAUUCCAUCUUCAGUUCAACUUUUCCUUUGGAACAUUUAUAAAUGCAUUUUGCCUAUAGGGGAUAUUCUAGGGAAGCACAAGAUUAAUGGGGAUUUGGGUUGUGUCUGGUGUAAUGCUUGUGUAGAAUCUCAUGACCACUUUUUCCUUAGUUGCAGUUGGGUUCAGAGAAUUUGGUACUAUUGCCUGGGUGAUCGAGGGUGUAAAAAAAAUCAGUUCCAUCUCUCUUAUAGUAUUUUUUUGCUUUAUGAAUUGUGGAUUAUGUUAAAUAAAAUUAAGUAUGGAGAGGUGAGACUCAGCAAAGACAGUGUUAUGGCUGUUGUGAUUGAAUCUGCUAACCACUCAUGGACAAACUGGUGGAACGAUUAAGUUAAUUAUGGGUCACUUAAUCCUAGAUCUUUGUCCUCUUUUCAGAAUGAUGUUAUGUCUCAGGUGAUUGAUGAAGAAAUUAUCCUAAUAAUUACUGAUGAUGCUUUUAACAGGUGUAGUAGUAGAGGUGCAAUUGGGAUAAUUGCUAGAAAGGCCAAUGAUACAGUUUUGGCUACUGGAUACAGGAGAAUAAUCAAAGCUAGAAAUGCUCAGAAAUUUGAACUAGUUGUUGUGGAGGGUGCACUUUUCUUUGCAAUAAAAAAAAGUUAUAAAAAAAAUCAGAGUGGAGGGUGAUUGCCAAUAUGUGAUGAAGGCCUGCAUGAGAAGAUAUCAAAGUCCAGACUUAAGUUGGCAAUGCUCAACUAUUUUCCAUAAUGUUCAUCUCAUGUCUUCUUCUUUUGUCCUAGUGUCUUUUAACUGGAUUAGUAGGGUCUGAAAUAGUAAGGCACAUGAUGUUGCCAAUGGGCUCACAACCAUCUGGCCAUGAGUUCUUACCCUUCUGUUAUUUUAAGUUCUGUAGAUGCUCCCAUAUAUAAAAAUUAGUCUUUAAAGCGAAAAAAAUAAUAAUGCAAAUGAACGGAUUUUUGUGUUGCGUGGUUCAGAAUAUGGCAACUUUUUGCAAAAAGAAAUUGCCAAUGAUAACAUGAGAUGUGUUUAUUUUUAUAGCUACAAACAAAUAUUUAUAUGAGGAUGCAAGAAGUCUUAUUAAGUUGAACCUAUAUCCAACCGGCGUACUUGAACGUCCUUCAUCCACAUGCCCUACCAUCUCUUACGUUGAAGCUAAAAUAAGACUCGCAAAUUGUGUAAUGAAAUCUGGCACAUAUUUAUGGUUUUCGCAAUGGAACUCAGUUGAUGGUGACAUGUUGUGCUUAUAUUUCUAUUCGAUAGGGAGACAAGGCAGGUGAAGUAGUGUUUAUACCAACCAUAUCUUUGACUAAAUCAUCUACUUAUUUUCCUUAUGAAAUGACAAGGAAAAAAUUCCAGUUCGAUUCACUUAAUCAAAUGAAGUUAUCUUUCGAGGACUCAAUGGCGAAAUAAUAUCUUUUAGCUCCUUUAAACCAAAUAGUCCACUUCAACUUAGGCCAUUCAAACAAAUUAUAUAUUAAGUGUUUUGUAAUAUUAUAUAAAUGAACUAAGCCAAUUAUAAUUAUAGAGCAAGUGUCAGUUGGGCUCAACCAGUAAAACCUUUGGGUGAUGAUGCCCGAAUCCCGCCAACAUUACCGAGUUACUGAUCUUAUUAAAAAUAAGCUUACCACACCAUAUUUUUUUUUUUUUUUCUUUUGCAGAUGUCAGUUGGGCUCAACUGGUAAAACCCCUGGGUGAUGAUACUAGAGGUCUAGGGUUCAAAUCCCUCUAGCAUUACCGAGUUGCUGAUCUCAUUAAAAACAGGCUUACCAAAACUUUUUUUUUUUCCCGAAUGAGUCUGUGGCUCAAUGGUAGCACCCCUCUCACAAAGUGAAGAGGUUGUGAGUUCGAAACACGUCAACAACUGAUUAAUGAUAUAAGUUUCUACACGUAAUUUAAUUUAAAGGGGUAGGGGUCCCAAUAACCCCGCUUACCAAUCAAAAAAAAAUUAUAAUUAUAGAACACGAAAUAACAAAAAUGAUAGAUUAGUUUAGAUUACAUAUAUACAGUAUAUCAAAAAAUAAUCCAUGCAUUGCACGGGUCAAAUGACUUGUAUAUUACAACAACAGAGGACCAAAUAGUUUCAUCAAGUGAAUGUGCACUUCAUAGUUUCAUUGUCCCACUGUAUCCUACACACUGGGAUUUUCUUCGAUGCUCUUUAAGUCCAGAGGCUAACGUAGCCUCUUCAGCCCAGCAAAAGUCCAUACGGCAGGUAACAUAAGUUGUUAUGUUGUAAGCGCAAUGUUCUGAACGCACCAAUGAUUUAUAAAAAAUUAAUAAAUGAAGCAGCCGGGAAGUCCAUAUGUGGAAAAAACUAUAUUAGAAUUUCAAUGCAACUUAUAACAAAGCUAAAACAUAAUGAGGAAAAUCUGUUAAAAUAUAGAUAUAAAUGCAAUGUAUACCACUGAAUUACCUUAAUAGUGUUCUGAGUCUUUCGGUGGAGGUGAUAGACGGCAAAUUAAGGAGGGAAGAAAUAUUUCUAUGUGAGAAGAUAUAAUAAAGGUGAAAUCAUGCUUCCUCAAUUAUGCAUGGUGAUCUGCAGUCUCUCGACCCAUGCCAACCUGAAUCUAUUGAAUGAUAGUGCAUAACUCCAGAUCCAUCACAAACCACUGAAUUUGUUCUGAAGUCUGCACAAAUUGCAACAAAAGAUGGUUUGGUUUAUUGCCAUGUAAAAUAGACACAAAUUCUACUAAAAUGUGUCUAUAGUUGUCUCAUACACGGGGUGCAAGACAGUCUCACACACAAAAAUCUACGCAAUUUGAGUGUUUGCAUUCUCACCCACUUGUUCAAACAAAUAUACAGUGCCCUUACUAUUUUUCCAUUCUAGUACUUUCAAGAUUUCAUGGAUAGAUAGAAAAGGUUGUGGGAGUCCAGCCAGUUAGAAAGCGCUAGGCCUGUCAACUAUCCGAACCGAUCACUUAUUUUUUAGUUUUGGAUAUCCAUUUGGAUUUUUGGAUCACUUGAAAUGGUUUUUGGAUAUCCAUACUCAUUUCGGUUUGGUUCGGAUAAUUCCAAACAAAAGACCGAUCCGAUCCAAAUAGUGUGUGAAAACUGAAAAAGACGUUUGUGAAAACUGAAAGACAUUUUUCUUUCCGAAUUUACCCUUUUUCAAUCUCUCUAUUUACUAUGUUCUUAUAACAACAAUGAAUAACAACAAUGAAUAACAACAAUUUCGAAGAAGAAGAAGAGUUUUAUGAAGAUUCUCUUGAUCGAAUUCUAUCAUCAGCAUCAGCUUCUUCUUCUUCAAUUAAUGUUUCUGAAGAAGAUGAUUCUUAUAAAGAAAACAACAAUUAUAAUAAUUGUAAUAUAAAUUCCCCAAAUUAUAAUUCAGAUAAUCCACCUCAAAUCCCAAUACCUAAAUUCCCAAUUUCAUCUGUUUCUAAUUUCGAUGUUUGGAUUAAUGGUCUUUUAUCAAUUCAAGCAGAAAACGUCUUCUUCAAGAAAUGGGUUUAAGUAAUGAUCCAUUACUUUCUAGAAAUAAUCAUGAUUUUGAUAUUGGUUACUCUCUCUCUCCAAUCUCCAUAAUCAAACUGUCUUACCUAAGGUAUUUGACGAACAGAGCAAAACAAAAUUGUUAGCUGUUUUCUAUUUGGAUUCAUGGAUGUUUACAAGCUAUUUGACUCAUACCCUUAUUUCUAAUUACAUAUGAAGGGUUGAUUUUGAAACAAAUGUUGAAUAAAUCAAAUGCUUCGGCAAUUUACAUGUUUCUCUUACUAAUUUCUCCAAGAAAUCAAUGAAGAAGAAUGAUGAUGUUCUGGGCGAUGGAAGGAUGGUAAUAAAGUGUUGAAGAAGAAAAAGAUGGAAUGAAGAAGAAGAGAAUUGGAUCGGUUCGGAUCGGAUCGGAUAUCCGCUUUUAGAAACGGAUCGGUUUAGUAUCCAAAUAAUAUGAUCCAUUCCUGAAUUGGAUCGGAUCAGUUUGGAUCAUAAUACCUUUGGAUCGGUUUGGAUCAUAGAGAAAACCAAACCGAUCCGAUCCAUUGACAGCCCUAGAGAGCGCAAGGAAUGAAUAUGCACACUAUAAUUGUAGCUGAUAACUGUGUCGAAAGGCCCCAUUCUCAGAACCAGGCUUUGUUGUAUAAUGGUAAAAUCACAGAAACUACCAUAAGCAACUCUUUUCUUUACAAAGUACAAACUCUCUUCAGACAAAGACUUCCAAUUCAAUUUCAUAAAGUAUUCCACAGAAAUGUUGGUUCUAACUUCCAUUUCAGAAGCAUACAUCAGACAAAAGCAAUUUAAGGUGUGACUCCCUGUCUGCUAAAACUUAUGAAGUGUAACUAUAUAGUUAUACGGCGCGAACAAUAUUAAUGCAAAGUUGAUGAGUAAUUAGCUUUUCUAGUAAAGUAAAAUUUUAUUGAUAGUCAAAAGAAAACUUGGAAUCCUGAUCAAGCCUACAUUAAGUGGUAUGACGGCAGUGUUUGUUUCACUGAAUCUGUAAUCCUGGUAAUCGGUCAUACAUUGCUACUCUUUAGAAAGAAAUCUGGAAACCAGAUUCCGGAGUAUAAGAAUUUUAGAGGAGUGUGGUUUUCUUUUCUGACGAACGAGAACCAGAUUCCAAUUUUUUCCCGACAAAUCAGUCAUGUCUCUACCCUACCCAACAUCUCUUUCUCUGUUUGUCUCUAUUUAUCUCUUUUCUGCUCGGGCUCUCUUUCUCCCUAUCUUUCCAUUCCUAUUAUUCCCUUCACUUCCCGGAAUCAAACACACCAUACAAGUAAACUCCAUGUGCUUGAAAGCACACUCCUAAAAUGAUUUUUAGGUGUGUUUCAAGCUACUUUUAAAUCAAUCCAUAUUACAUGUAGCAGCAUGAGUGCAUGAGUGCAUGCAUGUAUCCUAUAUUUUGAAAUCUUACCAAGUAAUUGUUUAGCCAGGAGCGGCUCUUAAGCCUAGCAAAUUAGGCAGCUGCCUAAGGCUCCCAAUCUCUGUGUGGGCCACAUUUAUUUGAUUAUGUAGUUUCUUUCCUAUUUUCGCUCCUAUAUUCUCUCAAAAUUUUUGAUAAAAGGUUAUUUUCCUAAUUUAUAAAUGUUUUUACUGGUAAUUGAAAAGUUUUGUAGGGCCACGUUCAACUGUGUAUUAAUUUUAUUUUGUUUCCAAAUCCCAAUUUUUCAGUAUUAAUUUUUACUAAUUAAAUCAUCUCUACUAUAAAACGAACAUAAAAUUUCUAAACUUAUUAAUGCUAACUAAAGAGGCCUCACUUUUGACUGCCUAAGGCCCCCAAACAUCUUGAGCCGUCCCUGUGUUUAACCAUGCUAAAAGUUUCCAGGAAUUGAAUUUAUUCUGCAUAGCGUGUUCCAAUUGGUAAAUACGUAUAGCAGACAAAGAAUACCCAUAUUUCUUUAUCAUUUUAAGAUAUAAGUAACAAAGAUAUGAGCGAUCACUUAUUUGAUAGAAAACGGAGUGCCCUUCAAUUAAAGCAUUUCGUGCAUCAAUUCAGUUUAUUAUAAAAAAAUAAAAAGAAACUACUACUUACAAAUGAGAGUUCGGUUUCAACGAGGCAAGAGAUGCUUUUGGUCUUUGAGCUUCUGCGGUUGUCCUAACGAUAUGGCAAAGUCGGAUAAGGCAACUGCAUCAUAGCAGGUCUCUCGCUUGCUUAACCAUUCAUCCUUGAGAUGAACAUCAACAUCUCUGUACAGAUGAUAGAACGAUGAUACUCGAUAAGUAUCAAUGCAUGUAAUGAGAAAUAAAGAAUAGUCUAAAAGAGAAUUAUGGGUACAUCUACUUCAAUUCAAAAGUAUUAAUGAAGAGAAAAACAUACUUCUUCAGCCUAAGAACUUCAUAAUUCUUCCGCAGGUAAUCACCAUGUUUAAUAAGAGCUUCUUGCACAUAUUCUUUGCCUACUGUUCUUACUUUGGAAGCACUGAGUAAAUUUUCUAAAGAUCCAUGCUUCUUCAAGAGCUUCAGGGCAGUCUUUCGACCAAAACCAGGAGCAACAUGUUGAAUUCCAGGAACACCAUCUACCUCAUCACCCAGAAUGCAUCCUAGAUGAGAUAAUCAUUAGUCAGAGUAGUCACUGAAAAUUUGUAUCAUGGACCAAUUCCUACCAUCCUAACUUUAGAAAAACAGAUAUUUAGUUCUGGCUGUCUAAAGGUGAAACCAAUAAAACAGAUAUAUGAUGAAGUGUAGUAAAUCUAAAGGGGAUUGUAUCAUUAUAGAAAAGUUAUAUACUUACGAAGACUUAGAUCGGAGCUUGGAUCACACGCGUAUUGAUCUAUGUAGUGUUUCAAAGUAUAAAAUGACCACCGGCCUAAUUCUGGCAUGGGCAUAACAAUUUGCACAUCUUCGGAUAUCAACUGCUUAAAAUCUUUGUCAGGUGAUCCAAUAACUACUUUCAGUCCACUUUGUAGAGCUUGUUCAGCGAGUGUAGCUACAACAUCAUCAGCUUCAUGGCCUUCAAUUUCUACAACCUGCAUGGCUCUAUCAUCUCAACAAUGAAUUGGAAGGAUAAUAGGGAUGCGAAAGAUAGCGUCCUUUAGUGAAACAAAAUCUUGUAACCUUUUCCAAAUAGAUACAUUGAAAUUAUUCUGGAUCGAAGUAAAGAGUUAUGCAGACACAGAGACAAGAUCUCACAAAAACACUUCUAAUGAGUAAGCAUUGCAUAAACAAAUUUGAAUGUUAGCAAUAUCCUCCAUCCAGUGAGAAGAAUAUAAGGCCAUCUUCAAUGCAUCUCUAACAAUCUAUUUUCAAAAAGAACUUAUAAUGCAUCUCAAACAAUGACUUAAAUUUUAAGAAUCUAAUGUGCUUUUAAUAGAAUGAGACUUAUACGUUUAGGGUGUCAAGGAUGUCACUCGCAUCCCCGAAGUCAGUAAUUGUAUCGCCCAGGCCAAUACAGAUCACAGUAAGACUUUCAAGCAAAAGAACUGUGAAGAUGUCAGAAACUUUCAAGCAAAAGAACGUUUUAGGGUUAGUCUUUACAGUUUAAACAUUAGCAAUCAUUCAACUCUAUCUUUUUACCCCUCAAAUUUGAUGUGUUUUUUUUUUCGAUUUGAUGGUUGCAUCGGAGAUGAUAUAAGGUGGAUAGGCCUACAGGAGCAGGUCAGAUAGAGUGACAAAAUGAAAGACAUUGGCAAUCAUCACAGAAUAUUAGUAAGAUGUUAACAAUGAUGCCUAAAGUGUGGAAACUAUCAGCAGCCGCAAAGAAAAUGCAAGGUAAAGUUAGGUUAUCAAGAAAGACAUAAAACUCGCUUUUGGAGAUGCUUUUGAUGCCAACAACUACAUAGAGAGAUCCAUAUACCAAUCCUAUCUUUGAAUAACGUUAGUGUAAACCAUUUCCUUCCAACGACUAAAAGAGGAGGCUGGGGGGAAUCCCAUGCUGAAGUAUGCCUCCCUUGGAUAACUUGAAGUGGAAAAGUUUGGAGUCUAUGAUUUGAGAAGUCGGACCUUUAAGAAGCUUUUCAGUCUCUGUGUCCAGGGGCGGAUCUAAGAGUUAGCUAAAGGGAGCGGUGGUCCAGAGUGCAAUUUAAUAAUUAGUUUACUACUAAUUAAUUUUAUGUGUGAGAGUUCAAACCGCAAACAUGAUUCCUCUUUUUCUUUAUCCUUUCUAUAAAGAAUGAACUAAUAAGUUAUUAACCAGAGACCUAUUUCCUAUGGCAUAAAAAGAAAUGCUCUACCACUACACAGAAACUAAACUGAUUCUAUAUUUACACUUAAAUAAUAUUUGACUGAGAAAAAAACACCCCACCACAACAAUUAGGACCACAUUGUAAAUUUGUAAUUUUGCAAGGUAUAACAUUAUUUAACAAAAAAAACAUAACGUUACUGGGAUGUAGGUUUAUAGGAAAACAUUUUGAAGUAACUAACAAACCGUAUCCUUCCUUUAUACAACACUUAUAAUCAAUAGACAUGUUUACUCAAAAAUUUAUUGAACAUGAGAUUCAUUGGAAAGGUUUGAAUUGUUUAGCAAAUUUUGGCAUCACAUGACCAAAUACAAAAAUAAUAAUACCCACAAUAGACUACAACUGUAUCCCCCACCCAUACAAAAAGAAAUAUAAAUUACACGAUCAAACCAUGUGUGUGUUUAUGUUAACUUGUCCAAAUAUGUCCCAAAAACACUUGACAGGUCCUGAGUCCUUCCCAAUUGCAGAUUGAAGUUAUUGAACAGCUUCAAAGCUUUACGUAGAACUAUUCAAUCCAAUUUAUUUGGCCAUAGAUGAUUUUUGAUUUUGAUUUUGUGUACUAAUGAAUCUUAUAAAGCAAUCUAUGUAUAGUGCUAGUUUGCUCUUAUGACUGUCACAGGUACGACCAAAGAACUAUGCACUUCUCUGACAGCAUUGAUGAAUAUAUAAUAGAGGAAUUCAUUUUGAAUUUAUGUGUCAAGGAAUUGAUAAUCUACUUCCAAUAAUAGGGCUACAUUAAGGAUUGUGCAAAAUCUGGGUAUAGAUAAUUUCGAGUGGUUUUAAUCGAUAAAUAUGCUGAAAAAAGAGUCCUAAAUGGGAAUCUCAAACUAAAGAAAGAUAUUUUCACUCACUGGAACAUUACACUUCUGAAGGAAGUUGGUAACUGUAUGGUGCAAACUUCCCCUUGAAUAUCGAGGUGACGACGGAAACAGCCUUGAGUAUUUCCUCCUGUGAGCUUUAUAUGAAGGUAACAAUCCUCUCCGGUAUUCAUUCCCUCCUUCCCCAUCAAAAACCUGUGAGAAAGAGUAAUACAUGAAAAUUAAGCAAUAAAGAAAUUAUUGACAUUAGAACAAUAGAGCUAUAAGGUGGAAAAAAAAAAAGAAGUCACAAUCUUCUGAAUAUUGCCAUAAUGUUUGUACUUAAUCUUUACAGAUAACAAAAUACUAUUGUAUGUGUACAUGAAUCAACAUCAUCUGUAUCAGAAAAAUAGAGCUACAAGGUGGGACAGUUUAGAUGUUUUUGUACUACUUAUGAACAGUUGGACAUUUGACAUUACAAACAAUCUUGAUACAUGGCUAACGACUUGUAUGUACAUGAAUCAACAUUUGCUGUACCAGCUAGCAGAGCUACUUUGCUAGCUUUCAACUUACCUGUAUUUGUACCCUGAACCUACAUUAAAGACACUUAUUAGUGGAUCACUGGUCACUAUCAGAAAGAUCAAAUUAAGUUAUUCGACAUUAGGAUGAUAUUAUAUUCGAGUAAUUUUCUACACAAUAUUUGUUAAGAAGCCCUCAAUAUCCAACCCCCCCUUCUCAAAAACUGCUUAAUAGAAUGAUGCUCUAAUCAAUACUUUGGUGCAUAGUUUAAUGUUUAGUAUCAUGGGUCCGGAUCGAUUUCAAUCGAAAAACACUACAAUUCACAUAUACAGAACAUGAUUAAAGUUAAACAACUACAUAAAAUGCUGAAAUAAUUAAUGAAGUUGGGAGAUAAUUUAUUAGCUUACUGCAAUGACAGGGUCAGUGUGACUGACUUGAGAGAAGAAGAGUGAAAUCCAAUAAGAGAAAGACCCCAAACUUGGAGUAGUACCAUUGUAACAUAGAGGAUUCACAUCUAAGAAAAACACCCUUUCUGUAUUGGUGUUUUUCUUAUUUCUAGUAGUUAUAUUACCACCAUUGUUAUUGUCCUUGUUUGAAGAUAAUGAAAAUUGCCCACCAAUUGUUUGAUUAAAAGAAGCACAACAACAAGUGGUUGGUGAUGUUUUGGUUCGCCAUGGAACAGAAAGAGAAAAGGAAAGAGAUUGCAUCAAGACUUCUGCCAUGUUUAAACUUUAUCACAUUUGCUUCUGUGAUGAAUGUGUUACUUAUUUAGUAGGAAUUUUGUUUUCUUUGUAACAUGGAUAAGUAAAGUGGUUGUAUUCAGAUAUGGGUGGUCCAACCCAAACCCACAGCCCUGACCACAUUCAGUGCUUUGAGAUUAUAUAUAAUGUCAAAUGGUGGUACUACUAAGGUGUUGUUUGUUUUUCAUUAAGUCGGUCUGAACGACUGAACUUAACAAUGGACCCAUCGUAUCGUCGUAUUCAGUCUUCAGACUGUUUGUUUUUUUGCAAAUGGUUGAGUGCUUAAUCCAUAGAUAAGUGAUACGGUGAUUAAGUGAUUCAGCUAGAAAAUCGGGCAGAAUGAAAGUCUGAAUUACUUAAUCAAGCAAAAAGACUAUUUUAACCUCGAAACCCUUUUUUCUAUUACUCCCUCCCUUCUUCUUCUCUUUUGCGACUGGUUCUCUCUGGUUUUUCUUCUCAGUCCAAGUUGCUCUCUCUCUCUCAUUCUCUGAACUAUUGAUUUUUAGUUUUUUUUUUUGGUAGAAAUUAAACCAUUGAUUUGAUGUUAUAUAUUUCUCUCUCUUACAAGAUUUAGGGCUAAAAUUUUGCUCUCAAGAGAUUAGUUGUUGAAGACAACCUCUUUGUAUCAAAGGUAAGAAAUUUUCUUUUCGUUUCAUUCACAGGUUGUAGUUUUCAUGGUUUGAAAUUCCUCUUUUUUUUUUCAUUUCAGCUCUAAAAAGCCAAGUUUUAGGAUUUUUAGAUACCAUUUAAGCCUAAUUUCAAUGGGUUUCUCUCAUUUCCCGAUUUCACUAUAAAGAAGAAAAAAACCCUUAAAAUAAAAGGGGGGGGGGGGGGGGGGGUGAUUUAUGCCAUGAUAAGAUCCAACAUUCUCUCUUCCUUUACAGAAGAUCUAUAAUUAGGCAGUUGUUUGCUUACCUGAAAAAUGAUGAAAUCAGUGGAAUUGUCUUGUGUGAAAACGAUAGGUGAAGUUGGUUAGUGAUUGAUGAACACGAAUGGUGAUUUAUACUAUGAUAAGAUCCAACAUUCUCUCUUCCUUUACAGGUUCACCAUUCGGCAUCCAUCUCCCACGUAAUUUAGUAUUCCAAUAAAAUAAAUAAAUAAAAGCCCGGGUGUGAGCUACAAUCUUUAAGAAAAAGAAAAAUAAAAUACAAAAAAAUAGGAAUACGGUGCCAGCAAGAUGAGGUCAGGGCUGAACAGCAGAAAUUAAAUCAACAGCCACCUAAAAUUGUUGUAAUCUGAAAUUUAGAACAUUCGUGCGCAUGGAAAUAUGGAAUGUGUAUUCUCAAUCAGAUUAGCCCACGUCAAGAACUUAUUUAUCACCACCACAAGCUGCCUGAAAUAUGUUUUCAAAAGCUUCUUUCAUGCAUGAGUACAAAAGUUGGGAAUCAAUAAAAUUCUUUUCCAUUGUUGCGGUUAACCUUAGUUGUCCCAUCCACGACGCUGUAGUAAAAGUAAGACUCUGCAUCCAUAAAGAUAAUGAAGAUGAUCUUAGACACAGUUGUUGCAUAUCAUUUAUUAAUUUGCACUUGAAAACAAAACAAAUCAAUUGCACUUGAGCUGACAUAUAUUUCAAAUGUCCAUUUCUGAAACACAUAGUUUCUGCGUAUCAUGCAUCCGAAAUCUUGACCCUUCGUGCUGAAGUUUGUGUUUUACCUGGGGUAUGUCUGCCACGAUAAAGAAACAAGAAUCGACUGCAUGACCUGCCACAACCAUCUUCUCAUUUGGACCAAUUAAAUUUGAGAUCAUAGUGAUUGUAUUCCUAAAAUUUGUAUUCCAAAGCCAAUUCCUCAAUGGGUUUCUCUCAUUUGCAUCAUCAGUUGGUAAUGGUAAUGCUGGUAUUAGCAACAACAACAACAACGUCAUCUCCCUUUUGAUAUAAUUCUCGAUAUUUUUACGGGACUUCCUGCUCACCUCAUUGUUUCCUGUGCCCAUUCCUCAAAAUUGUUUCACCCCUUUUCCACAACUCCAUCUUUUGUCAACCUGCACCUCCAACGAGCUACUCCAACCAUUGCUCUUCAGUAUGUGUCUCGUUUUGCCAACUAUCACAUAAGGCGGCUGCAACCCAACAAUGUUCAUAUCAAUAUUUUUCAUGCAAAUAAGACUACAACUGCUCCGCCUGCUGCCAGCGAGCAACAACAACAACACGUUAGUUUUAGUUGUCUCGAUCUCUCCCCCCAUAACAAAUAUUGUUAUCCUUUACUAGCUUGUUGGAUCUUAUCAUGGCUUUCUUCUAUUUGUGAAUGCAGUUCCCGUUUUAAAUCCAAAAGUAUUAAGAUCGAAUAAAACAAACACUUAUUGAUGUAGUAGUUUUAGAAUAUAUAUAUUUUAAGACUUUCAAAGCUACUGCAUGAAAGUGUUUGUUUUAUUUGAUUUUAAUACUUUAGGAUUUAAAAUGAUCAAGACAAAUGCAUAGGAUGCCCAACCGCAACCAUGGUAUGAGUUUAGUUAGGGGAAGAUAGUAAUUGUUCUGACAAUAUUCUUGUUCAUGUAUCUUCGGAUGAGUAUUUCGAUCAAAGGAUCAUGGAAUACUUCAUCAAAUUAAUUAAGAAGAAACAUGGAAUUAUGGAAAGGACAUUAGCAAGGACAAUAGGCUAGGACUCUUGGGAAGCUAAGAAGAGAAUGUGAACGUGUCAAGAGAGCCUUGAGCAACCAGCACCAGAUCUGUGUAGAGAUUGAGAUUGAGUCUUUAUAUAUGAUGGAUAUUUGACCUUACCGCAAUCUCUCCAGCACCAAGGUUCGCACUUAUCUUCCAUCUGUUCAACAUUUUUCAUAAUUUUCAUCACUAUAUUCACUAAGAAACUCGACUGGAAAUAAACCAUUUGAUUGAACAGAGGAACCCCUCAGAUUGAAAUGAUUACCUUUGAGGUUGAUGCCAAUAGUAUCCUGAAUGUCAAAGCUGAAGACAAAGCCAGUGGCGGUAACUCAGAGAGAAGGGUUGUUAGUUUGAGCCAGGAAGAAAUUGAGUGAAUGGUUCGGGAGGCUGAAGAGUUUGCAGAAGUGAACUUGUACUCAAAUUAGAGCAAUCAUUAUCAAUUAUACUGUCGACCUAAGUGCAAUUUUAUGAGAGUAAUCUUUGAUGGUUCACAAGUGAACUUGUACCCAAAUUAGAUUGUUCGAGCAUUAUAACUUCAUUUUAUUUUUUCUCAUUCAAUGCAUGUUUUAGAAGAGAGGGUAGCUUUGCACUUUGCAGUAGAAUGUGUUAUGACCUAUUCAUAUGAAAUGAUGUUUAAAGUCAAUUGUUUAAUGGAAUGAAAGGAAAAAUAGGAAGGUUAUUCUGUCAAUUUGCAAAUUUAUAUUAGGGCAAUUUUUUUUUUUUUUUUUUAUUUGAAUCAUAAUUCAGUGGCAGCUUAUAAUGAGAGACCAACUGAGAGAGAGAUGAAUGAAAAUCUAUUAGUAAAUGGGGGUAUAAUAAUCAUUCAGUACCUAAUGUAGAGACGGUUCUAUUCAUUCAGAACUUAAUUAAGUCAGGUAUUUAAGUGUGGUAUUAAGUUGCCAUUAAGUGUAUUGAGUGCUUAACUAGUAUUCAGUCAUUCAGUGUUUGAUUUAGAAAAAAAAAAAACGACACCUUUGUAUCCUGUCAUUGAUCCUCCUGAUCUUCUAGUGCUAAUGUGCCUAUAUGACAUGAUUGCGGCUUGCAAUGAGAGAACCGGUACUGUCAUUAUUUAGUUGUUUAGAAAGUUGAUAAAAAUUAGCAUUAUAAAUGCAUGAUCAGCGUCCGAUAAUGAGGACUGUUGGGUCGAUAAAACUACCAGACACAGAAACAAAGUUUACAAUCUGCUGAACAAACAAUGACCUACUCCAAGUUUGCUGUUUCCCUGUCUUCAGCUCCAGGAUCUUAUAUGCCAUCAAAUCACAGCAAUCCAUCAACUUUAAUAAAAGAAUGGAGCUGCUGCAAAAAAAUAUAUAUGUGACAUGUCCAAUGAACAAAGUCUUGUCAACACAUAAUUUAAUCAAACACUGGAUUGAAAUAGCUGAGAAAAACCUUGAACCUGCUUCUUCGUUCCUGACAUAUUGUAAUUGCCUGUAUGUUUAGAUGCAUGCUUAAUGCUACAGGUUUUAUGGUUUUGUUUGUGGGCUUGGGUUAAUACCUCACGUGGGCUUGGGUAGGUUAGGUGGCAGCAAUACUGUUUGAAUUAAAACCAAACAAGUUUAGUUUGUUCACACUUCGCACAGUGAUUUUAACCGACUUAACUUUCAAAGAAAAAAGAAACCGACUUGCUGCUCGAUCCGUAUAGUAAAGAGAGAGAAAUAACUUUGUGUGUUCACACUAUAUAACAAUGGUGGAAGAGGGAAACAGAUCUGUGUAAGGUGCAGAUCAAAUAAAAAUUUAUAAAAAGAGAGAUAAUUAUAAGAAAGCUAUUAGGAAACUUGGAAUUCUAUGCUUGGGACAUGUAGCUUGUCAUCUUCUUUUUAGUAGACGAUUAUCAUAGCUAUUUUCUUCGCGAAAGAUAAGGUAAGUUAUAAGAUUUCAUGUCUUUUCUUGAUUUUAGGAGAUAGAUGAGGUUAGGGUGUGUAAUAACAUGUUAUUUUACUUUAUAAUCUAUACCAUGUUUAGGGAUUGAAUUAGUUUGAUUAUAAACUCAUGUUUACGUUGCUUAUAAACAACGAAUGAUUAUUGAAAUUUUGAUAAGAAGCAUGAUAGCGUGUUUAUUUUAUUCGUAUGACAUGGUAUUGAUUGUUGGUGAUAUUAUUUAUGUAUAUUUUCAUGCUAAAGGUGAGACUGCAUAUUCUGAAACUAGUUAUAAGGCCCGUGCAAUACACGGAUAUUAUUAAAUAGUGUAAAUUAGGUGUAGUCUCUUGGAAAUGUUUUGUUAAUGUAUGUCAUUUGUUUAAUUGUCAUUUUUACAGUUUUAUUACAACACUAAUUUUUAUUUUUAUUUUCGUAAAUACGGUUGAUUACAAUUUUUGAAAUGGUUUCUCGUCAAAUACUCGUUGUUUGAAUGUUUGACUGAGAUUUUGAGUUAAAUAUAAUAUAUAACAAUUAUUGAAUUUUUCAUUAUGUUUUUACUUCAUUGUGGUAUGAUUAAUCUUAUGAAUGUUCAAACCAUGAAUUAGACUGAUCAUAUGAUUUUAUUCAUUUUUUCUUUGGAGUCUAAGCUUAUGUUUUGAAUAUAAAAAGGGGUUUGGCAAGAACAUAGUAUAUAGUAACUUGCAGUCGUAAAAUAACUUUUCAUAACUAAUGCACCCAACAAAACUACUGAAACAUCAAGUUGAAGCAUAGGAUAAAAUUUUGGAUUGGAAAAUAUAUGUGCUUAUUAAAGUUUAUUAUAGUAGGUAACGUACAUUUCUUUUUCUUAUUAUUAUUAUUGGUAAGCGAGGUUUAGGGGCCCUACCCCUUUUAAAUUUACGUGGGGAAACUUAUAAUCAAACAAUCAGCUACCAGCUACUGACGUGUUUCGAACCUACAACAUCUCCACUUUGUGAGAGGGAUGCUACCUUUGAGCCACAUGCUUAUCAACAAAUCUAUGUAUAGAUUUGCUAUAAUAAGUAUUUCAUCUACAUAAAUUUUUACUUGGUAUAAAGAGGCAUGUAGUAAGAUACAAUGAAAGCCUACUUGUUGGCUAAUAAAUUUUUUUUGUAGGACUUCGGUUUUUAGUUUUAGUAAAAUAAAAAUUGUGGGACUUAUAUAUAAAUUAUAUCUUCUGAUUCUCCCAGUCCCUACUUUCACGACAAAAAUCAGGAAAAAACCUCAAAAUUUAUAUUUAGGUGUAUCCCUAAUGUUUCGUAAUCAGCAAAGAAAAGACUUGCAGCACAGUUUGUAGCGCGUUUGUCCUCUACUUUUGUGUAAUUUUUUGAGCUUAUCAAUAAAAUAGUUUUUCUUUAACAAAAAAAAAAAUAUUAAUAAAAUUUAUUUUGAAAAAAAAAAAUCACUUCAUUGUCAAGUUAUUGGGUUGAGCUUUGGUUAUGUCUAGACUAUACAUCAUUUCAGAAAACACUAUUGAAUUUAUAUCCUGAGGUAACCUUUGGCCGAAGGUAGGGCUAGAAGUGGAUGUAGAUUUAUCUGAAUUAACCGAAUCUGAAUAUGUCGGAUUCAAAUAUAAGAAUAGACCCGAAUUAAAAUUCGGAUUCAGAUUUAUAAUAAGAGACCUAUUCAGAUCCGGAUUCAGAUGUUAAUCUGUUUUUUAAAAAUUUUAUAUUGGAAAAUUUUGGAUUUAGUCGGGUUUUUGGAUAAAUCUCAGAUUCAGAUUAAUUAUUUAAACCUGACGAAUUCGGAUCCAGCUUCCAAUUUAUUUACAUCCGAUCCGAAUCCGACCCGUUUCCAGUCUUAGCCGAAGGCCAGUUUUUCAAAUAAUUUUUGAGUAUAAUUGAUAAAUAAGAUUAAACUAAUCUAAAAAAUCACGCUAUAAUUACGCAACAUAAUCAUGUUAUAUGGUUAUAAUCCUAUAUAAUUUUAUUUCUAACAUGUACUAAAAAGAAAAUGGAAGACGCAUAGUAUUAGAAUUUGUACUAUUGCGUGCAUAUAUUCGUGUAGUCUAUUGUAAUGAUCGUUGUGUGUGUGCUUCUUUUUUUCCAACCAUUAUUUGGAGAAGGAAUAGAGGACAGAUUGAAUUUGAUGUAUGUGGAACAUGGAUAAAUAUUGAGGAAAGAAGAAGAUAAAGUACAUAUAUAUAUUUUAUUUUUUGGUUAAUAAGAUAAAUAUAGCUAUAUUGCCAUUAAAUUCAUUGGUUAGCCAUUAAUAUAUUUGUGAAAAAGACAGAUAUGCCCAUAGUGCUAUUAAAUGUAGCCAUCUAGCUAUUUAAGCCAUAUUAGAUAUAAAUUUACAAUAAUAACCCUUUAAAUUUCAAUCUUUGUUAAAUUCUCUUCAGUUGAAGCAUCAAAUUUGAUCUAAUUUGGAAAGAGAAAUUUUUCUUAAGGGCAAGUCCAACUUUAAUAGAGAGUAUAGAUUAUACGUAUUAUUAUUAGUUAAUUUGAAUUGAAUAGAUGGAUUGAAUGAUGUUGAAAAGGGCUUUUGAGCCGAAGAUUGCUUUGAACAGUCUGAAUUGAGGAGACGUCCCUGGAGUGUACUGAGAGUACUGCUCGGUGUCGCGUACUGAAGUACACUCAGUGGUGUUAUGUCACCAACUUUAAGAGCCUGCGGAGAGUAUUGUUCGGUGUCGCAUACAGAUGCAUGGCUGAAAUACUGCGGUACCAAAUGAAUUGAUACAGAUGAAUUGGCUAUUUGCCAUGUGUGAUGAUUUGCUUGUUUAUAUAAUUGGUUAUUGAUGUGAGUUAUUUGAAUUGAUCUAAUGAUUAUAAUUGAUACAUAUAUUAUUGUUAUAUUAUUGGGUGCGUUGAUUCCGUCUAUGGGAUCAAGAUCAGAUAUCAAGUUUUGUAACUUGCUAGCAUUUAAUCGCUCGUUUUUCCCCGCCUUUCAAGAAGCAAGUAAGGCGAUACUCGGAGCGUGCGAAGAGGAUAUAGUUGGUGAUAGUUAGAUAGGUAAAGGUGCUCUAAGUUUGUAGUUGGUCUUUUGUUAUCAGAUGUAGCCCUUGGGGCAGGCAUAUUCUUCAUCCUUUUGGUUGUUUGAAUUCUUGUAUAUAUGUUUAUACAGAGUUUGGUUUGAAAUAUAUCUUUCGUUGUUGGUUUGUUCAUAUUUCAUUCGAAUUAUAUUUUCUUUCUUGUCCUUACAUGGAUAUUGGAUUUAGAUCUUGGGUGUCAUGUGGCAGUAGUGUGAACCUACGGUCCAUGGUGGACAUAUGGAGAACAUUACGACUCUGGCGUCUGGUCUUGGCCUAAUCAACUAGGAUCGGAUUUCAGGGGCGUCAUAGUUGGUAUCAGAGCUUAGAGUUCAUUUGUCGAAGUGGAAUAUUCUUAGAGUCUGUAGGAGUUAAAACACCAUAGGAGUAUGUUCGUACGUUAGUAUAGAUUGAGUGAGGACGUUACGUUUCGUUCCAUUUCAUUUGGUAUUCAGUUAUUUAUUCCUUGAUUGUUUAUCAUAUUUCAUGCUUGUGUUACUACACUGACUAAUGGCGGGACAAGAGGGACAUGAAAGGGAUGAGACUGAUGCAAGUGGGACUGGAGUUGCGAUUCCAGCUUGGAUGCAGACUAUGAUGACUUCACUUACUAAUCUUAUAGCAGAGUUAGUAGUUUUGAGGAACAUCGGUGUGAAUCCUUCACUACCACCACAGGGCAAUGCGACACAUCAGCCACGGGUACCGGUAGGUGAACAAGAUAUGACAGAAGAAGAAUUAGAGACAGGUCGAUUAGAGUGAUGGUUGCGGGUGAUUGAGAAAUUUCAGAAACACAAACCACCUACUUUUGACGGCAAAGGUAAUCAUUUGAUGGUAGGUGAAUGGAAAGCAGAGGUGAAGAACGUAUUGCGAAUUAUGAAGGUGAACCCAGUACAACAACAACUCUUGGUAGCCCUACAGCGUAAGAGUGGUGCCAGGAUGUGGUGGAACAGUAUAGUGUCUGAAGAAGAUGAAGAUACAAUGGAAUGGUCAGAUUUUGAGCGGCUUUUUGAUAAACAGUAUAUCUCUCGGACAGCGAAGACCAUUAUAGAAAAUGAGUUACUGACUAUUCAGCAAGGUGAAGACACUGUUACAGAGUAUGAGCACAGAUUCAUUCAUCUUGCCAGGUUUUGCACAAAUCUGACGUUUUUUUAGUGGCGUUUGGCUCGACAGUUUGAGGAUGGUUUGGGGACAAAUUUGAGGCGAGCAGUGCAAAAUCAGCAAUAUCCUACAGUUAAGCAGGUUGUAGAGUCAACUAUGAUUACUGAGGCAGAUAUUAUCCAUACUCGAGAGCUAAAUGAAGCUAGUGGUAAAGGGGGGGAUGGUGGUAAGUCUCAUAAGCGCCAUCAGCUCUUCGAUGGGCAUAAAAAUGGUAAUGAGAAAAAAAAAUUAAAUCAGACAGUUCAGGUAGCAGUUAAAGUAUGCUCCGCUUUUUAAUUUCUCACAGUCGGCCAUCUUAUGUCCCGGUCUCUUACAAGCAUUGCAAGUCACUGUAGGCCUCGAACUGCUACCUGAACUGUUUGAUUUAAAUUUUUACCAUUACCAUUCUUCUGCCCAUCGGAUGGCUGAUGGCGCUUAUGAGACUUGCCACAAUCGCCCCUUUUACCACUAGCUUCCUUCAGCUCUCGAGUAUGGAUAAUAUCUGCCUCAGUAAACAUAGUUGACUCUGCAACCUACCUAACUGUAGGAUAUUGUUGAUUCUGCACUGCUCGCCUCAAAUUGGUUCUCAAACAAUCCUCAAACUGUCAAGACAAACACCAUUCAGAAAACCUUAGAUCUGUACAAAACCUGGCAAGACGAAUAAAAUUGUGCUCAACUCUGUAACAAUGUCUUCACCCUCCUGAAUAGUCAGUAACUCCUUUUCUGUAAUCCUCUUCGCUGUCCGAGAGAUGUACUGCUUAUCAAAAAGCCGUUAAAAUCUGACCAUUUCAUUGUAUCUUCAUCUUCUUUAAACACUAUAUUGUUCCACCACAUCGUGGCACCACCCUUAAGCUGUGAGGCUGCCAAGAGUUGUUGUUGUACUGGGUUCACCUUCAUAAUUCGCAAUACGUUCUUCACCUCUGCUUUCCAUUCACCUGCCACCAAAUGAUUACCUUUGCCGUCAAAAGUAGGUGGUUUGUGUUUCUGAAAUUUCUCAAUCACCCGCAACCAUCACUCUAAUCGUUCUGUCUCUAAUUCUUCUAUCAUAUCUUGUUCACAUGUCGAUACCCCUGGUUGAUCUGUCGCAUUACGCUGUACUGGUGGUGGAGGAUUCGCACCCAUGUUUCUCAAAGCUAGUAACUCUGUUGUAAGAUUAGUAAGUGAAUUCAACAUAGUCUGCAUCCAAGCAGGAAUUGCAACUCCAGUCCCACUCAUAUCAGUUUCAUGUCCCUCUUGUCCUGCCAUUAGUCACUAUAGCAACACAAGCAAGAGACAUAAAAAACAAUCCAGGAAUAGAGAACUGAAUACCAAAUGAAACAGAACGUAACGUAACGUCCUCACUCAAUCUAUACUAAUGUACGAGUAUACUUUUAUGGUGUUCUUACUCCUACAUACUCUAGGAAUAUCCCACUAGGACAAAUGAACUCUAAGCUUUGAUACCAACUAUGAUGCCCCCGAAAGCCAAUCCUAGUUGAUAUGGCUAAGACCAGACUCCAUGGUCGUAAUGUUCUCCAUACGUCCACCAUGGACCGUGGGUUCCCACUACUGUCACGUGACAUCCAAACUCUAAAUCUAAUAGCCAUGUAAGGACAAGAAAAUAAUAAAACACGAAUCAACCAACAGUGGAAGAUUUAUUCAAACCAAACUCUGUAUAUGCAUAUAUACAAGAAUUCGAACAACCAAAAGAAUAAAGAGUAUAUGCCUGCCCCAAGGGCUAUAUUUGAUAACAAAAGACAUCUUUACCUAUCUAACUAUCACCAACUAUAUCCUCUUUGCACGCUCCGAGUAUCGCCUUACAUGUUUCUUGGAAGGAGGGGAAAAAAGAGCGAUUAAUUGUUAGCAAGUUACAAAACUUAAUAUCCAAUCUUGAUCCCAGGGACGGAAUCAGCGCACUCAAUAGUAUAUCAAUAAUAUAUGUAUCAGUUAUAAUUAUUAGAUCAAUUCAAGCCACUUGAAUCAAUGAACAAUUAUAUAAACAAGCCAAUCAUCACACAUGGCAAAAUAGCCAAUCCAUCUGUAUCAAAUCAUCUGGUACUGAAGUACCCCAGCCAUGCAUCUGUAUGCGACACCAAGCAAUACUCUCCGCAGGCUCAUAAGGUUGGUGACAUAACACCACUGAAUGUACUUUAGUAUGCGACACCGAGCAAUACUCUCAGUACACUCCAGGGAUGUCUCCCUAGAGUAUGUGGCAUUAUCUGAUUGGAUAGGAAAUCUGAUUUUUUUUUGUUCGAAUGCGAUCUGGCCAAUCCGAUAUGAACAAGUGUUUAAUAAAUUUUAAUUUCAGCUAUUUUCUUUGCGCUAAAAUAUAUCUGUUGGCGACCACUACGAACAAAAGCAAAAUAAAUAAAUAAAUAUGAUUCAAUAGUUCUGGGCUAGGUAUGAUUUAAUGGUUCUUGGGCUAGACUUUUUUUUAUCUAAGAGGCCUAUUUAAUUCAGACACCCACAAGCACUGUGCGUGCACAUUCACACAGUGUUAGUAAGGUAGUAUGCUAAUUGCUUAGCUACCAAGUAUCCAAACCGACUUAAUUUAGUAAUAUAUGAACUGACCUGUUUGCUUUAUAUAAAAUAGAAAUGAAAGAGAAAAAAAUAUAAUCUGUUUGAGGUGUGUUCACACUACAACAUAAAGUUGCAGAAAAAUUUAUAAGAAGAAGAAGAAAAUUUCAUUAACUUAAAGCUUUAAUGCUUGGGAGCUUUAAUUUGUGAGUGCGUCUUUAGUAGCUCAUUGUUGUGUUGGUUUUCUUCGUGAAAGCGAGGUAUGUUAUGAGAUUUGAUAUCUUCUCUCGAUUGUAAGAGAUGGAUGAAGUUAGAGUAUGUAAGAACAUGGUAUUUUACAUUAUAGUUCAUGGUUUCAUGCCAUGUUUAGUGAUUGAUUUAGUUUGAUUAUAAACUCAUGUUUGCAAUGUUUAUAUAUGAGUGAUUAUUGAAAUUUUGAUAGGAAGCAUGAUAGUGUGUUUAUUUGAUUUAUAUAAUGUGAUAUGAAUUGUCGUAAAUCCUAAUUGAUGUUACAAUGACAAUGAAUUAUUAGAUUAUUGGUGAUAUUAUUCAUGUAUAUUUUCUUGCUAAAGGUGAGAUUGCAUAUUGUGAAAUUUAUGCGUAUUGAUAGUUAAGAUGCAUUUGAUUUGAAUGGAUGGAUUGAUUUGUGUUGAAAAGGGGCUUUUGAGCUAGAGGCUGUUUUAAACAGUCUAAAUUGGGGAGACGUCCCUGGAGUGUACUGAGAGUAUUGCUCGGUGUCGCAUACUUAAGUACAUUCAGUGGUGUUAUGUCACCGACCUUAUGAGCCUGCGGAGAGUAUUGCUUGGUGUCGCAUACAGAUGCAUGGCUGGGGUACUUCAGUACCAGAUGAUUUGAUACAGAUGGAUUGGCUAUUUUGCCAUGUGUGAUUGGCUUGUUUAUAUAAUUAUUUAUUGAUUCAAGUGGCUUGAAUUGAUCUAAUAAUUAUAACUGAUACAUAUAUUAUUGAUAUACUAUUGAGUGCGUUGAUUCCGUCCCUGGGAUCAAGAUUGGAUAUUAAGUUUUGUAACUUGCUAACAAUUAAUCGCUCUUUUUUCUCCUCUUUUCAAGAAACAUGUAAGGCGAUACUCGGAGCGUGCGAAGAUGAUACAGUUGGUGAUAGUUAGAUACGUAAAGGUGUUCUAAGUUUGUAGUUGGUCUUUUGUUAUCAGAUUUAGCCCUUGGGGUAGGCAUACACUCUUUAUCCUUUUGGUUGUUUGAAUUCUUGUUUAUAUGUAUAUAAAGAGUUUGGUUUGAAAUAAAUCUUCCACUGUUGGUUUGUUUGUAUUUUAUUCGUGUUAUUUUUUCUUUCUUGUCUUUACAUGGAUAUUGGAUUUAGAGCUUGGGUGUCACGUGGCAGUAGUGUGAACCUAUGGUCCAUAAUGGACAUAUGGAGAAUAUUAUGACUCUGACGUCUGGUCUUGGCCUGAUCAACUAGGAUCGGAUUUCAGGGGUGUCACAUAUACCGUAGCCAUAUAUACUUCUCCGAACACUGGAUCUGCCCAACUAGGCUUACCACUGGUGUUUGACCAAAUCUUCCUAGUUUGCCAAUAGUUUAACUGUCCUGUGAUGAUACUUGGGAAUUUAACAGUUCUUUUCCUUGUCCUACAAGGAAAAGAAAAGGGAAAGGUUACAAAAGAAAAGAAAACUUUACAAGUAGAGAAAGGAAGAGAAGAAAGGAGAAGGCUUGAGAGAGAGAGGGGGAAGGCUUGCUUCUGAGCGUUGAAGGCUCGAUUGUUGAAGCUUGCUUUCUUUCAAUGCAAAUGCCUCCUUUUAUAGGCAAGUUGGAUAAGUGAGAAGUGGGCCCCAUUGGGCAUCUUGCUAAUGGGUGGGCCCCAUUGAGCAUGGUGAGUGGGCUCCAUUAAAGCAUCUUGAUAAUGUGUGGGCCCCCGUAGGCAUCUUCUUAGUGGAUGGUGGACCCCAUUUGGUGGAUUGUGGACCCCAUUUGGCAUCUUGUGAUAAUGUGUGGGCCCCAGUAGGCAUCUUCUUAGUGGAUGGUGGAUUGUGGACCCCAGUUGUAAGUGGGUAGGCCUUAGUGAAUAAUAGGCCCAUUGUUGUCGGUAGAAUAACCUGUUGUCUCUUUGGUGUUGUAGACCCAUUGCUGGCUGAUUAACCUGUGAUGUGGACUCUAUAAUUGGAGUCUGAUAAUUGCUAGUGGUGGACCCCAUUGAGCACUUUGUCUGUGGGUCCCAUUGGGAACAUUAAUUGAUGUGGUCCCUGUUGAAUAGUAGGGAGCAUUGUUUCUGGAAGAUUCGUCUGUCGGUAAUUCCCGUGGGUGUUGUAGACCCUUUAGUCUGCUGAAUAUCCGGAUAAUUGGAUUUCAUCUUUCGUGUCGGAGUCUAAUAAUACUCUUUCUUAAUUAAAGAGAUGGUAAUACUAAAUUCUGGAAAUUUUGGUUUAAUUGUGAGUCCUUUGCCAUAACUCUCCAUGAAAAAGGUGGGUUAUAGUCUGUCAAUUCUAUUUGACCAUCUGAAUUUAAUCUGAAAUGGUAAUUUAAAAUUGUUAUGUCGGUGGCCACAUAAUUCAUGCUUGGGUUAAAUUUAAACCACCAGUUAAAGAACCAGGUAGGUAUAGUACUGUUAAAUUCGGGGGAAAAAGAAAAUUUCCAGAAAUAUUCUAGUUGGGGAUUCUUAUGAAAGAAUGUAUAUGUCCAUGCGUCCAUAUAGUCCCAAUGAUUGAAAGUCCGAAGAUUGUUGAAAUGAGGAAAAGGACCUAUAAGAGGCUUGGUAAUAAAAGGUUCACCCCAUUCGGGAGGUUCUAUUAUUUUAUGAAUGAGAGCAUUACGAUAAGGUUUAGAAAAUUGGUUAUUAACCUUAGAAAAAGAGACUGAAUUGGUCAUAAUUAAAAUGGAUUCGUAGAAAUUUCUACGUUCAAGAAUUUGGGAGGGACUAUUAGUCUCUGGGUCAAAAUUUGUGAGACCUUGAUAGAUAGGUGAGUAUAACCACAUCAUAUCGUUAUUAGUUAAAUCAAAAAUUAAUUCAUUGGAAUUCUUCAGAUAUGAUCUGGUAUUAUUAUCUUCUAUAAAAGACUUACUGAUAUUUUGUUUCCUUUCUUUUAAGGCAGGAGAUAAUUCUUCCCAUUUGGGAGGAGAGAAAGAUAUUUCUCGUUUUCUCUUAAUAGAAUCCGAAUUAGGAUUAUUUUCUUGACCAGGAGUAGCCAUUCUUGCAAAAUUAAUUGGAGCAAGUGUCGUUUUUAUUAAAACGAAAGAAUCAUUCUGACAAAUUAGUCAUUAUAAAUCAAUCCUCUUAUUAGGAUGGAACAAAACUUGUCUCAUUAGAGAUUUAUAAAUCCUUUAAUUAGAAUAAAAUCAAUCUUGUCUUAUUGGAGAUUAACAAUAAAUCCUUUAAUUAGGAUAAUCUAAUCCUUAAAUUAGGAUAGAAAUUUAUCGUUUAUCUUGUCUCAUUGGAGAUUAACAAUAAAUCCUUUAAUUAGGAUAAUCUAAUCCUUAAAUUAGGAUAGAAAUUUAUCGUCUUACUAGACGUAGAUCAAUCCUUUAAUUAGGAUGGAGAUAAUUAUGUAUUGUCUUACUAGAUAUAAAUCAAUCCUUUAAUUAGGAGAUUCCCUGUUACAAAGAAAAUUAUGGUUAGAUAAGAGGAAUAUUAAUUUCGGAACUAUAUUGUUCCUCAAAUAUUUCAAAAACUCUUUUUUCUUUAAAUUGAUUGUUAUAAUCCUUAUCGGGUUUUAUGAUAAAUUCAAAAAUAACUCUUUUCCCCAUAAGGAUAGUAUGAAUUCCUUCAUCAUCAAUUCUUUCGAUGGGCCAGAUAAGGCUUAAAAAUGGUUUUCCUAAAAUUACCAUUUGAGAUAAAGUGUUAGAUAGAACAAAAUAGGUUUUUAUACGAAUAGUAUUGUUACAUAUUAAAACAUUUGAUAGUUUAUUAUUUAUCUCCAUAGGAGAACUGUUUGCAGUAUUCAAGGCAUAAUGGACCUUUUCAAAAUAUUUAGAAGGUACUAGAUCUUGCCUUAUACAAUUUAGGUCCGAUCCGCUAUCUAUUAGGGCAAUAGUUUCUAAAACAAAAUCCUGAAUAAUGAGUUUGAUAUUAACAUACCAUUUUUGAUUAAUAUUAUUAUCUAAUGAUAAUAAUACUUUAUUUUCAUCCGUUUUGAUGACAGGAAUAGGAAGAGUAUCUUUCUUCUCCAAACGGGAAAUUCUCCAUUUUAGAUUAUUAAUUUCGGUUUUGAAAUUGUCUAUUUCCUUUCUAAAUUCAGAAAUAGGAACUUCUUUAAUCAAAGGUUUUGAUUCUAUUCUGUCGAAAACCUUUUGUAAAGAAUAAGGCUCCAUAAUACUGGAAUUUAACCUAUUAUUAUAAGAGUCUUUUAUAUAUUUUUCAAUAGCCUGUCUUUUCUCAGUAGGAUCGACAAUAUUGUCAAUCAUAUCAAGAAUUAACGUUUGGCUUUCAGACAAAACAUUUAUACUAAGGCCAUUCAUAUCAAUAAUAGCUUUGUAAUAGUCUUGGGAAGUCUUGCAAUGUGCAGAACAUCCUUUCUCAGACUGAUUACUAUUGUCGGACUCACUAUUAGUGAGUUCCUCAACUUCCAUGAUUUGGUCAGAAGAAUCAUCCGAAUAGUAACUAGAAGUUUCAUUAGUAUCCAAAAUUUGGUUAAUUUGUUUUUUGAUACUGUCAUCAAUGCCUAAUUCGUUGAUUUGUUUACGAAUAUCGGUUUUAGAAUAACACCGAUUAGCAUAAUGACCUUUUUUACCACAUGUAUGGCAAGUAAUAUUUUUAAAAUUCCCUUUAUUAUCUUUAGGGUUAAAAUUAGAUUUUUGUUUAGGCAAGACCUGGUCAGGUCUUUUAUAAGGUUUUCUUCUGAAAUAUUUCUUAGGAAAUCUUUUCUUUGAUAAAUCAGUUUUAUCAUUCUGUUUAGGUAUAUCAUACCCAAAUUGUUCACAAAAUUGACCUAAUUCUUUUUUCCCAGUUAAAUUUUGUUUCUUAAGUUGAUUCUUAAGCCGAAUAUUUUUACCAUCAGUAGUAGUCCAAUUGUUAUAAAAUUCUUUGAUAACACAUGAUUCUAACGUCCUAUCCCAUCUCAGCACAUAAUGCGCGAAUGGAAUAAUGCUCUUAGUAUCAUUUAAAUAAUUGUAAUAAUUUUCUUUCAAAAUUUCAUGUUGUUCAUCAUUAUACUGGUCAUUAUACCAUUUUCGAAAAGCAUCAUAUUGAGGACCUUUCCAUUCAUUAUGGAUGGCUACCCGAUCAAUUUUAAAUUCAUUGACUAAUUCUAUUAUAUUAAUAGAAAAAUUCAUCUCCGAAGGGGUAGGAUUAAGGGCAGAAAUCCUAUUAUAAAGACCAUGCGGAAUAGCAUUGUUAGAUUCUUUUAUUCCUUUAAUUUCAAAUUCAUCAUCUAAUUCAGAUUUUAUUUUAUCAGGAAUACUGGAAGUAGAAGCUCUAGAUGGUUCCUGAUAAUAGAAAUUUUUAACAGAUUUAAGCCUGGAUAUCCUGUUAGAGGAAAACCUUAUUUCAAUAUCACCUUCGGGGUUCUGGAUGAUUUGAUCUAAGUUUCUAUUAACAGGUUGGGCAGGGAUGAUUCCCUGGUGAUCCCAGUUCUCAGGAUAACUAAUCUGAUCCCAAGGAAUAAUUUUAUUACAAGCCAUAUUGGACUUUCCCAAAUUUGUUUCAAUAAUGGUUGUAUUGCCUUUAUUACUAAUUAAUUUAACAUUAGGACUUAAAGUGUUCAUAACUUUAAAUUGGAUUCUAUAAGCAAUAUUAAGAAUCUCAGAUCCAGAAAGGAAUUCAUAUCCUUUAGUAUCUAAGUCCAUCAUAACACUUUGCAUGAUAUUAUCAUCAGAUAGGGAUAACUCCAGAUUAGGGUAAAUAUUACAGUAAACAGGUCCAUUACUCGUAGUGGAUUCCAUAAUACCCAUUAAGGAUUUUUGAUAAUUGGUGCAUCUAGCAUCUCUAAGGGCCAGAAGGAAACAACAAUCAAUUCCUUUUAGGUGUAAAGGUUUGACAGCAAUUUGAAUUAAUCCUAUAUGGAUGUAAUGAUAAUUUUGACGAUAUCUAAUAAUAUCUUGCUCAGUUAUUAGAGGAAUAGAUUUUUUAUUUUCAUUAAUUGGCAUGGUAUGUUCUACUGUCUUAAUAGACAUAGCGACUUUGUAAUCAAAAGAACCAAUGUUAUAAAUUCUUUUAGGUUCAAUUCUGGGCAUAUCCCAAUUUAAUAAUUCAUUUUCCAUUUUCUCUAUAUUAGAGAUUUCAAUACAUUCUUCAUUUUUUAAAAAUUUCUUUUUAUUUUUAAACAUAUUAAACAUGUUGAAUUAUUAUAACAAUAUUUAGAAUAAUAUUUUAAAAGAAAGCUUAAAUAAGGCAGAAUAACACGAAAGUGAAGAUGUCAAUAAGGAGUUAGGGAUCAUGCAGUUCUUUACUCAAAAGUAAUUAUCCAGAAAUAAAAAACAUAGUAGAUUUCUUUUUCAGAUCAUUAAUCAUGAUUAAUACUGACAGUCAGCGAUUUAAGUCACGACUAAAACUAUUUCAUAUCUUAAUUUAUGAUAAAUAUCAAUAGUCAACGAUUUAUGUCACAGCAAAUAAUAAUCUCAUAUCCAAAAUUAUGAUGAACUUCAACAGUCAACGAAUAAAAUCCCUAAACGCCUAACGGCCAUCUGCCUGCGGCUAAACGGGAAACAACGCGACGAAGUCUAUGUUCAUCAUAACUCAGAACACUUAACUAUUACAGCUGGAGACUACAAGUAGUCCAACGCGACAGAGUUGAUAAUAACCAUAAAUCAAAUACAAAACAAUUAUUAGUCGGAGACUACAGAGUAGUCCAACGCGACGAUGUCAAAAGACUAAUCAUAAAUCUCUUUUAAGAGAAUAGAUAAUAUUACUAACAAGAUUUUAAGCAAUAGAGGUCGAUUUACACAUAAGUGCUCAGACCCUCAUCACCGCUGCUGUCAGAGGCCACCAGUAGCAGCUUGACAAUCCAUUCCCCUUACAAAAGGGUUGCAGUGCUCCAAAGGAGUUGCUAUGUUCCUUGAUUAGGAAUAUUCUCCAUAUCUUAAUGAAGAACUGAAACAGUAUCAUCGUUCUUAUUUCGAACAAUUACUGUUGGUCAAGACACUACAUGUUCCCCAACAGUAAUUUACGCUGACAUGGCGCUGAUAAUGUGUGGGCCCCAGUAGGCAUCUUCUUAGUGGAUGGUGGAUUGUGGACCCCAGUUGUAAGUGGGUAGGCCUUAGUGAAUAAUAGGCCCAUUGUUGUCGGUAGAAUAACUUGUUGUCUCUUUGGUGUUGUAGACCCAUUGCUGGCUGAUUAACCUGUGAUGUGGACUCUAUAAUUGGAGUCUGAUAAUUGCUAGUGGUGGACCCAAUUGAGCACUUUGUCUGUGGGUCCCAUUGGGAACAUUAAUUGAUGUGGUCCCUGUUGAAUAGUAGGGAGCAUUGUUUCUGUAAUUUUCGCUGUUGUUUUGUUAGUUUAAUUUUACUAUUUAAAUUCCUGCUUUAAUUUUGGUAUCAGCGCCAUGUCAGCGUAAAUUACUGUUGGGGAACAUGUAGUGUCUUGACCAACAGUAAUUGUUCGAAAUAAGAACGAUGAUACUGUUUCAGUUCUUCAUUAAGAUAUGAAGAAUAUUCCUAAUCAAGGAACAUAGCAACUCCUUUGGAGCACUGCAACCCUUUUGUAAGGGGAAUGGAUUGUCAAGCUGCUACUGGUGGCCUCUGACAGCAGCGGUGAUGAGGGUCUGAGCACUUAUGUGUAAAUCGACCUCUAUUGCUUAAAAUCUUGUUAGUAAUAUUAUCUAUUCUCUUAAAAGAGAUUUAUGAUUAGUCUUUUGACAUCGUCGCGUUGGACUACUCUGUAGUCUCCGACUAAUAAUUGUUUUGUAUUUGAUUUAUGGUUAUUAUUAACUCUGUCGCGUUGGACUACUUGUAGUCUCCAGCUGUAAUAGUUAAGUGUUCUGAGUUAUGAUGAACAUAGACUUCGUCGCGUUGUUUCCCGUUUAGCCGCAGGCAGAUGGCCGUUAGGCGUUUAGGGAUUUUAUUCGUUGACUGUUGAAGUUCAUCAUAAUUUUGGAUAUGAGAUUAUUAUUUGCUGUGACAUAAAUCGUUGACUAUUGAUAUUUAUCAUAAAUUAAGAUAUGAAAUAGUUUUAGUCGUGACUUAAAUCGCUGACUGUCAGUAUUAAUCAUGAUUAAUGAUCUGAAAAAGAAAUCUACUAUGUUUUUUAUUUCUGGAUAAUUACUUUUGAGUAAAGAACUGCAUGAUCCCUAACUCCUUAUUGACAUCUUCACUUUCGUGUUAUUCUGCCUUAUUUAAGCUUUCUUUUAAAAUAUUAUUCUAAAUAUUGUUAUAAUAAUUCAACAUGUUUAAUAUGUUUAAAAAUAAAAAGAAAUUUUUAAAAAAUGAAGAAUGUAUUGAAAUCUCUAAUAUAGAGAAAAUGGAAAAUGAAUUAUUAAAUUGGGAUAUGCCCAGAAUUGAACCUAAAAGAAUUUAUAACAUUGGUUCUUUUGAUUACAAAGUCGCUAUGUCUAUUAAGACAGUAGAACAUACCAUGCCAAUUAAUGAAAAUAAAAAAUCUAUUCCUCUAAUAACUGAGCAAGAUAUUAUUAGAUAUCGUCAAAAUUAUCAUUACAUCCAUAUAGGAUUAAUUCAAAUUGCUGUCAAACCUUUACACCUAAAAGGAAUUGAUUGUUGUUUCCUUCUGGCCCUUAGAGAUGCUAGAUGCACCAAUUAUCAAAAAUCCUUAAUGGGUAUUAUGGAAUCCACUACGAGUAAUGGACCUGUUUACUGUAAUAUUUACCCUAAUCUGGAGUUAUCCCUAUCUGAUGAUAAUAUCAUGCAAAGUGUUAUGAUGGACUUAGAUACUAAAGGAUAUGAAUUCCUUUCUGGAUCUGAGAUUCUUAAUAUUGCUUAUAGAAUCCAAUUUAAAGUUAUGAACACUUUAAGUCCAAAUGCUAAAUUAAUUAGUAAUAAAGGCAAUACAACCAUUAUUGAAACAAAUUUGGGAAAGUCCAAUAUGGCUUGUAAUAAAAUUAUUCCUUGGGAUCAGAUUAGUUAUCCUGAGAACUGGGAUCACCAGGGAAUCAUCCCUGCCCAACCUGUUAAUAGAAACUUAGAUCAAAUCAUCCAGAACCCCGAAGGUGAUAUUGAAAUAAGGUUUUCCUCUAACAGGAUAUCCAGGCUUAAAUCUGUUAAAAAUUUCUAUUAUCAGGAACCAUCUAGAGCUUCUACUUCCAGUAUUCCUGAUAAAAUAAAAUCUGAAUUAGAUGAUGAAUUUGAAAUUAAAGGAAUAAAAGAAUCUAACAAUGCUAUUCCGCAUGGUCUUUAUAAUAGGACUUCUGCCCUUAAUCCUACCCCUUCGGAGAUGAAUUUUUCUAUUAAUAUAAUAGAAUUAGUCAAUGAAUUUAAAAUUGAUCAGGUAGCCAUCCAUAAUGAAUGGAAAGGUCCUCAAUAUGAUGCUUUUCGAAAAUGGUAUAAUGACCAGUAUAAUUAUGAACAACAUGAAAUUUUGAAAGAAAAUUAUUACAAUUAUUUAAAUGAUACUAAGAGCAUUAUUCCAUUCGCGCAUUAUGUGCUGAGAUGGGAUAGGACGUUAGAAUCAUGUGUUAUCAAAGAAUUUUAUAACAAUUGGACUACUACUGAUGGUAAAAAUAUUACGGCUAUUCAUCCUCCUACCCAGCCUUUAAAAUUAAUUAAUGAGUCAUCUAUUCUUGAAACGGUUGCUUAUAUUCAACCUUCUGAUAAUGAUACAGGUUUAAAUAAGGUUUUCAAACAGUCUAAUUAUACCAAUUUAUGUCUUCAAACUAUUGGAAAACAAUUAAUACGUAUUGAAGAUGCUGUUAGCAAGCCAGAACCCAAUAAAAAGGUCUUUCCUGUUAGUAUUAAACCUCCUCCUGAUAUGAAGUUUAAUUUAGGGAAUAAUAAAUUGAGUCAGGACGAUUUUAUGGAAGAACUUACUAAAAAGUUGAAGGAUAUAAAAUUAACCAAUAAUCAUAUUGCUGUGUUAUCACAAAAUGGUGAAUUAUCUAGUGAAAAUAUUGAAGAAUUUCAAAAUAUAUUACAAAAUAUGGAACAGGAAGUUAAUGAACUUGAAUUUAGUAAAACCAAUAAAGAUAAAAUACCACCUACUAGGACUUAUUAUCCCAGGCCUACCACUAUGGAUAUUCUUAAUGAAGAAGAUUACAUUGCUGUCCAAACAUCAUAUAGUGCUAAGACUAUAUAUGAAUGGAACAUAGACAGUUUAUCGGAAUAUAUGAUAUAUGUCACCCUGCAUAGAAUUCUUAUGUUUGCUACUGUUUGCAAAAAUUCUAAUAAUACUGAUAAGCAAACAGCCGGUUUUAUUAUAGCCGGUUUUACGGGGCAAUUAAAAGGAUGGUGGGAUAACCUUCUUACCCCUAGCCAAAGAGAAGAGAUUCUUGGUUCAGUUAAAUUAGAGAUUAAUACCUCAGGCCAACAAUCCCACAUUGAAGAUGCUGUUUAUACUCUAUUUCAAACCAUAAUUAAACAUUUUAUCGGUAAUACUAUUACCGCUAAUGAAAGAGGUAAAGAUUUACUCAUGAAUUUGAAAUGCCCAACUUUAACUCAUUUUCGUUGGUAUAAAGAUGUUUUUAUGGCAAAAAUCACGAAUAGACAUGAUGGUAAUAAUGCCUUUUGGAAAGAAAAAUUUAUUUCUGGAUUACCUAUUCUUUUUGCUGAAAAAGUCAAAAAUAGACUUAAAAAUAACCAUGAUGGGAUUCAAAUUCCUUAUGAUUAUUACACUUAUGGGGAACUUAUUAGUGAAUGCACUUCGGAGGGAUUAGCCCUUUGUAAUGAUAUUCGGCUUAAGAAUCAGCUUAAGAAACAAAAUUUAACUGGGAAAAAAGAAUUAGGUCAAUUUUGUGAACAAUUUGGGUAUGAUAUACCUAAACAGAAAGAUAAAACUGAUUUAUCAAAGAAAAGAUUUCCUAAGAAAUAUUUCAGAAGAAAACCUUAUAAAAGACCUGACCAGGUCUUGCCUAAACAAAAAUCUAAUUUUAACCCUAAAGAUAAUAAAGGGAAUUUUAAAAAUAUUACUUGCCAUAAAUGUGGUAAAAAAGGUCAUUAUGCUAAUCGGUGUUAUUCUAAAACCGAUAUUCGUAAACAAAUCAACGAAUUAGGCAUUGAUGACAGUAUCAAAAAACAAAUUAACCAAAUUUUGGAUACUAAUGAAACUUCUAGUUACUAUUCGGAUGAUUCUUCUGACCAAAUCAUGGAAGUUGAGGAACUCACUAAUAGUGAGUCCGACAAUAGUAAUCAGUCUGAGAAAGGAUGUUCUGCACAUUGCAAGACUUCCCAAGACUAUUACAAAGCUAUUAUUGAUAUGAAUGGCCUUAGUAUAAAUGUUUUGUCUGAAAGCCAAACGUUAAUUCUUGAUAUGAUUGACAAUAUUGUCGAUCCUACUGAGAAAAGACAGGCUAUUGAAAAAUAUAUAAAAGACUCCUAUAAUAAUAGGUUAAAUUCCAGUAUUAUGGAGCCUUAUUCUUUACAAAAGGUUUUCGACAGAAUAGAAUCAAAACCUUUGAUUAAAGAAGUUCCUAUUUCUGAAUUUAGAAAGGAAAUAGACAAUUUCAAAACCGAAAUUAAUAAUCUAAAAUGGAGAAUUUCCCGUUUGGAGAAGAAAUAUACUCUUCCUAUUCCUGUCAUCAAAACGGAUGAAAAUAAAGUAUUAUUAUCAUUAGAUAAUAAUAUUAAUCAAAAAUGGUAUGUUAAUAUCAAACUCAUUAUUCAGGAUUUUGUUUUAGAAACUAUUGCCCUAAUAGAUAGCGGAUCGGACCUAAAUUGUAUAAGGCAAGAUCUAGUACCUUCUAAAUAUUUUGAAAAGGUCCAUUAUGCCUUGAAUACUGCAAACAGUUCUCCUAUGGAGAUAAAUAAUAAACUAUCAAAUGUUUUAAUAUGUAACAAUACUAUUCGUAUAAAAACCUAUUUUGUUCUAUCUAACACUUUAUCUCAAAUGGUAAUUUUAGGAAAACCAUUUUUAAGCCUUAUCUGGCCCAUCGAAAGAAUUGAUGAUGAAGGAAUUCAUACUAUCCUUAUGGGGAAAAGAGUUAUUUUUGAAUUUAUCAUAAAACCCGAUAAGGAUUAUAACAAUCAAUUUAAAGAAAAAAGAGUUUUUGAAAUAUUUGAGGAACAAUAUAGUUCCGAAAUUAAUAUUCCUCUUAUCUAACCAUAAUUUUCUUUGUAACAGGGAAUCUCCUAAUUAAAGGAUUGAUUUAUAUCUAGUAAGACAAUACAUAAUUAUCUCCAUCCUAAUUAAAGGAUUGAUCUACGUCUAGUAAGACGAUAAAUUUCUAUCCUAAUUUAAGGAUUAGAUUAUCCUAAUUAAAGGAUUUAUUGUUAAUCUCCAAUGAGACAAGAUAAACGAUAAAUUUCUAUCCUAAUUUAAGGAUUAGAUUAUCCUAAUUAAAGGAUUUAUUGUUAAUCUCCAAUGAGACAAGAUUGAUUUUAUUCUAAUUAAAGGAUUUAUAAAUCUCUAAUGAGACAAGUUUUGUUCCAUCCUAAUAAGAGGAUUGAUUUAUAAUGACUAAUUUGUCAGAAUGAUUCUUUCGUUUUAAUAAAAACGACACUUGCUCCAAUUAAUUUUGCAGGAAUGGCUACUCCUGGUCAAGAAAAUAAUCCUAAUUCGGAUUCUAUUAAGAGAAAACGAGAAAUAUCUUUCUCUCCUCCCAAAUGGGAAGAAUUAUCUCCUGCCUUAAAAGAAAGGAAACAAAAUAUCAGUAAGUCUUUUAUAGAAGAUAAUAAUACCAGAUCAUAUCUGAAGAAUUCCAAUGAAUUAAUUUUUGAUUUAACUAAUAACGAUAUGAUGUGGUUAUACUCACCUAUCUAUCAAGGUCUCACAAAUUUUGACCCAGAGACUAAUAGUCCCUCCCAAAUUCUUGAACGUAGAAAUUUCUACGAAUCCAUUUUAAUUACGACCAAUUCAGUCUCUUUUUCUAAGGUUAAUAACCAAUUUUCUAAACCUUAUCGUAAUGCUCUCAUUCAUAAAAUAAUAGAACCUCCCGAAUGGGGUGAACCUUUUAUUACCAAGCCUCUUAUAGGUCCUUUUCCUCAUUUCAACAAUCUUCGGACUUUCAAUCAUUGGGACUAUAUGGACGCAUGGACAUAUACAUUCUUUCAUAAGAAUCCCCAACUAGAAUAUUUCUGGAAAUUUUCUUUUUCCCCCGAAUUUAACAGUACUAUACCUACCUGGUUCUUUAACUGGUGGUUUAAAUUUAACCCAAGCAUGAAUUAUGUGGCCACCGACAUAACAAUUUUAAAUUACCAUUUCAGAUUAAAUUCAGAUGGUCAAAUAGAAUUGACAGACUAUAACCCACCUUUUUCAUGGAGAGUUAUGGCAAAGGACUCACAAUUAAACCAAAAUUUCCAGAAUUUAGUAUUACCAUCUCUUUAAUUAAGAAAGAGUAUUAUUAGACUCCGACACGAAAGAUGAAAUCCAAUUAUCCGGAUAUUCAGCAGACUAAAGGGUCUACAACACCCACGGGAAUUACCGACAGACGAAUCUUCCAGAAACAAUGCUCCCUACUAUUCAACAGGGACCACAUCAAUUAAUGUUCCCAAUGGGACCCACAGACAAAGUGCUCAAUGGGGUCCACCACUAGCAAUUAUCAGACUCCAAUUAUAGAGUCCACAUCACAGGUUAAUCAGCCAGCAAUGGGUCUACAACACCAAAGAGACAACAGGUUAUUCUACCGACAACAAUGGGCCUAUUAUUCACUAAGGCCUACCCACUUACAACUGGGGUCCACAAUCCACCAUCCACUAAGAAGAUGCCUACUGGGGCCCACACAUUAUCACAAGAUGCCAAAUGGGGUCCACAAUCCACCAAAUGGGGUCCACCAUCCACUAAGAAGAUGCCUACGGGGGCCCACACAUUAUCAAGAUGCUUUAAUGGAGCCCACUCACCAUGCUCAAUGGGGCCCACCCAUUAGCAAGAUGCCCAAUGGGGCCCACUUCUCACUUAUCCAACUUGCCUAUAAAAGGAGGCAUUUGCAUUGAAAGAAAGCAAGCUUCAACAAUCGAGCCUUCAACGCUCAGAAGCAAACCUUCUCCCUCUCUCUCUCAAGCCUUCUCCUUUCUUCUCUUCCUUUCUCUACUUGUAAAGUUUUCUUUUCUUUUGUAACCUUUCCCUUUUCUUUUCCUUGUAGGACAAGGAAAAGAACUGUUAAAUUCCCAAGUAUCAUCACAGGACAGUUAAACUAUUGGCAAACUAGGAAGAUUUGGUCAAACACCAGUGGUAAGCCUAGUUGGGCAGAUCCAGUGUUCGGAGAAGUAUAUAUGGCUACGGUAUAUGUGACACCCCCGAAAUCCGAUCCUAGUUGAUCAGGCCAAGACCAGACGUCAGAGUCAUAAUAUUCUCCAUAUGUCCAUUAUGGACCAUAGGUUCACACUACUGCCACGUGACACCCAAGCUCUAAAUCCAAUAUCCAUGUAAAGACAAGAAAGAAAAAAUAACACGAAUAAAAUACAAACAAACCAACAGUGGAAGAUUUAUUUCAAACCAAACUCCUUAUAUACAUAUAAACAAGAAUUCAAACAACCAAAAGGAUAAAGAGUGUAUGCCUACCCCAAGGGCUAAAUCUGAUAACAAAAGACCAACUACAAACUUAGAACACCUUUACCUAUCUAACUAUCACCAACUGUAUCAUCUUCGCACGCUCCGAGUAUCGCCUUACAUGUUUCUUGAAAAGAGGAGAAAAAAGAGCGAUUAAUUGUUAGCAAGUUACAAAACUUAAUAUCCAAUCUUGAUCCCAGGGACGGAAUCAACGCACUCAAUAGUAUAUCAAUAAUAUAUGUAUCAGUUAUAAUUAUUAAAUCAAUUCAAGCCACUUGAAUCAAUAAACAAUUAUAUAAACAAGCCAAUCACACAUGGCAAGUCAUCGUAUUGAGCGUGCAAGUCAAGUUCCAAGUAAAGUAUUGUGGGGCAGAGAUUCUUGUAAUCUUCAUAAUAUUCAGUAAAGAAGAUAGUUUUCUUCGAGAUCUUGUGUUUUGUUUAUCUUAUUUACUACUAUUGUUUAAUUCCGCAUUUAAUAGUUUAUUUGCCUAGUAAUCUGUAUCAAGUUGGUAUCAGAGCUAAAGUUGUACCAAGUUGGUAUCAAAGCAAAGUUCGAUUCCCUGGUGCAGUUUUCUAUCGUUUAUGGUUUUAACUCGUUCGCAUUACAGAAAGUUAGGUAAAGUCCUUGUGUCCUUGGAAGAUUAUAAGAAGACAAGAACAAAGAAGAUGACAAAAACAAAAUCAAAGAAAUUUGAGGUGGAGACAUCUACUUCGCAGCAGAAAGCCAACCUGAAGUAGAAGCAGAAAAAAUUGUUUUCUAAUCAAGGUGAUGUUGGUGAUCGAGAUGAGCCAUUCAAGGAAGAUUGCAUAUUGGAGCGCAAGGUGACUAAGACACGAAGUGGGAAACAUACAAUGUUUCGUAUUAAGCGUGUAAGUCAAGUUCCAAGUAAAGUUGAAUGGUUCAGCAAAGUCCAGGGAACUUUUGAGUUCUCUAAUCUCCGAUUUUAGCUUAAACAUGACUUUAAGUUCCUACAGGGGGGAGCCAUGAUACAGGUGUAUCCUACUUGGGAAUUUAGCUUAAAUAGGUUUCCUUGUUCCAUAAGGGAUAGAAUUUCAGGAAAAGGGAAAUCCUUGGCCUAUAAAUAUAUGUUUUGGCAUAAACAAAAAUAUAUAGAGAGAAACAUGUAGUCUUUACUUGUUUCAAGAGAAACCACUUAUGUUUAGUGGUUUAGUGAUGUUUUGGCAUAAACCAAAACAUAGACCAAACAUAACUUAUUUUAGCUUGUUUAGAAAAACCACUAAGGAUUAGUGUGUUUAGAAAUAUUGAGACAACUAGGGUUUAGCUUGUCUAGAGAGUAUUGUGAGGCAAAGAUUUUUGUAAUCUUCAUAAUAUUCAGUUUAGAAGAUAGUUUUCUUCGAAAUCUUGUAUUUUGUUUAUCUUAUUUACUGCUAUUGUUUAAUUCCGCAUUCAAUAAUUUAUUUGUCUAGUAAUUUGUAUCAUGUGAUGUCUCUUUAAACUUAGCCCCAUGUGCUCCAUGUCAAUCCACUGCCAUAUAUUGCCUCUUCAAAAUUUAUUUCAUUUUUAACACCACACCAAACAAAGGACAACAACUGAGCAAAGGCCAAGGGGUAGAGCUUGCCACAAAGCACUGCCAAUCCUUCUUGGUGAGGGAGGAUUCCAGGGUGUAUACGGGAAGACCUCCGUUAACUGCCUUGAAUGAAAGGCCUUGGAAGAAAACCAGCAGACAUGACUCAGCCACCCGGUCAAGAGAAUAAAGUGUUGAUAGCCGGCCAGUUCAAGAGAAAACUCUUGAAAUCACAAUGUGCCAUAAUAUUGGUGGCCCUUCCCAAGUGCUGAGAAUAUUCCAAGUGUUCUUUCACCUUAAUUCCCAAGUGGGGGUCUCAUGUUUCAACUUUUCACUAGGGCCUCAUGGCUUUUGUUUUGGUGGCCAACACUAGUUCUGGUCUUUCCAUUAAACACCACCUCAUUACAUGUUUUCCAAACGACCCAUAUAACUGCAUAUGGUACCCAGGUUCGGAGCUUUCACUCCAAAGCUUGUCACUCCUCUGAUUAGCCAUAUAGACAUCCAGUUCAAUAUAGAGACCUCCACCUAAAAUUUAUGCUCUACAUUCCCACCGGCUACAUCACAGAACAUCAAAGUUCUGUUGGAACCCUGCAUUUAAGAAAUAGAUAAAGAGCACUCUCCCUCCUCGUUACAAAACAACAAGAACUUUCCACAUCCAUCCAUAUAACAUUCAAUCUCGCUGAUGUAGGAGCCCUACCCAUCAGUAACAACCAAAAGAAAACUUUGAUCUUUGUAGGCACUUGCACCCUCCAAACCAGGUUGGUUGGGAAAACUUGCAGUUCCAUAGCUGCAUUGAGAUUCCCUUCGCCCUAGCUGCUUGUGAAAACCCCUGACAGUGAAACUACUAGCUGCUGAACUCUCCAUUCCCAAGAGUCUGGUUCCCCACAGACUGACUUGAUGAGUAAAACAGCCAAAUGAAUAUAUAAAACUGCUCUUGUUCCCUUUUCAAUAACGGUCUCCCGAAAUGAAAAUUCCAGUGAUUAUGCAAUGCUGCAACUAAAUCUUGCUGCGAUUUUGAUAGAGCAAACAGCUGAGGAAAGAGAGUUUAAGUGGGCUUUUCUCGUAUACCAGUCCUCCCAGAAACAAAUUUUGUUGCCAUCACCUAAAACACAUCAAACCCCUUUCCCGAACUCCUCAAACACUGACAUUAUCUGAUUCCAGAGGCUGACACCAAGUAGGAAUUUAUCAAAACAAUUAUCCUAAUAAGGGUGUAACAGCAUGUGAUGUGCUAUGUGACAGCCAUUUACAUCCAGCAAGAAUACAGUUGCGUACCUAAUAACAUAUUCAACUAACAGGAACAAGGCACUUCACAACUCUCUUAAAAGGGUUGUUGCUUAAAAUGGCAUCAGUAGUCCAUUGUGUUAGGCACGCAGCUCUGAAAUAUCAAGGGAGCAGUUUUAAAUAAUGUAUGCAUCUUAUAUUCACAUUGUAUUAUUUACAGAACUAUUUGUUAAAACCGAACCCAACAACGUGUACAUUUAGCCUCACAGUCUCCUUUACAAUCUACAUUAUAACCCAAGACUUUGGGAUUGCGAAGAAGAAGACUGCGAAGAGACUUCCCUUUGAUCCCCCAUGUUUUCUCCAAAACUUGUACAUUGUUUUUCAACUCGUCAUUGAGACUACAUCCAAGCACCUCAGGGAACUUUUUUAAUAACUUCCCUAUAUCAUCGUCAGAGAGCCCUAAGCUUCGCAAAUAAUCCAAUAUUUCACUAACUACCUCAAGUUUUGGAGCUUCUUUCACUCUUUCUUCCCACCAAUAAGGGGAAUGAACAUGUCCAAAUGCUUUUCCCAAUAUCUUGUCUUUCUCCUCGAUACUAAAUUCAAAUGCAGUCAGUGCCUCCCUACACAUAUCCCACAUUUUCUUCUCUUCGUCGCCCAAAGUUAUAGACUCGGUUUGUGCACCUGAACCUAAAUUCCACUUUUUCAACGUAGAAAUAGGUAAACAAGCUCUCCCUCUAAUCUCAUCAAAUUGACCACUUGUUCUUCUUCCAUGUGACACUUUUUGCUUCACUAUCGCGAUAUUUGCUGCGGAUGUUGCAAUGUCCAACUGAAAUAAGAUGAGAAGAAGCUUUAAAAUCAAACUUUAGAUAUCAUCUUAUUAUACAUGAUACUAACAAUACAUAAUGUUCCAGCACUUUGAUUUUGGAAGUAUCUGAUAUGCUCAACCUUGGUCAAGUAUCCAUUUCGUUUAAGUAAGACCGCGACUGGGAUGAAGACCUACUAGAUCUUGCUUUUCAUUGAAAGGAGUUUCAUAUCUAAUGCUAACAUUGCAGUUUUUUUUUUCAUUUCCCUUAUAAUUUUUAUAUGUUCAUUUGAUAGGCAUGUUUUUUUGCUGCCAAAAUAUUAGUUGAUAAAAAUGAAAAAUAAUAUCUUACCUCUAAUUUGACCUGACACACUUCAUCCUAUUUAAGACUGAACUAAAAUAGGAUUAAUUUCAAAGAUAUGUUUGAAAAUGUUGCAAAAUAGAAAUCAUAUUACAAGAACAUAUAAAUAUUCUAUAUAUUUGAACAUGAUAUUGACAUAGAUGAUAUCGCUAAUGUAAUAUAAUGAACACUACUUAUGGAAGCUUAAUACUUUUGCAUUACUAAAACGAUAUGACAUAGGGGUAGAAGAAGAGUUUAACAUAAGCUUUUACUCAUAGAGAUUACAAGAAUAGCAACUGAAAAAACGAAAACAUACUUAACAAACCUGAGCCAACAUGAAAAUGCAAGCUCAAACUUACACUCAUAAACACUACUAACGCCACUUAGAAGAAUUGAAUUUUGUAACGCAAUAUAUGACACCUAACCCUUGCUUAAACUCUUGAUCGUCAUUGGUCCAUCUACCCAAAACCUAAUAUUUUAUCUUUACUCACAUCUAGUACUUCUGUGUAUCUUUCUGGAACUGGCUCAAAAUUAUUCGGUGAAAUUUCAACAAGCUCUCGCAAAUUUUCAACAAGGGUAUGGAAGUUGGAAGCAUCUAUCCUUGGGAGGUGGGGAAUUUUUUAAUAUAGUUCACAAAGUGUAUAUCAAACACAGCCUGCCAGUGAUCGAUAUGAUGGAGGUGGAUAUUCAACUGUCCAAUACAAAGAAGAUGCCAGUCUCUGGAAAGGGCCUUCCAGAUAAUGGUAGAUAUGAUUCGAACAAAGCCAGGUUCAAAAUGAGGAUUGUAGAGAUUCUAAUCAAGCGAAGGAUCAAGAUGCGGCAAUAUAAAAUUAAUUGAAUGAUGAUAAAAAUUGACUUCAACAGUGCAUGCCCUCAAGGCUUCUGAAUUUCACUAUAUCUGGAUCAAGAGAACUUUCUAGUAUUCCCCCAGUGUCUUAUUGUAUUUUUGAUUAAUUAGGACAGGAACUCUCUGCAUUCUCCCAACAUUCCUGACUCCCGAGGACUGAAACGUGGUGACCUUUUACCACCAUACUUAUUUAUUCAUCAUGUGUCAGGAGAGCCCAUCUUCAUGCGUUAUAUCAUCUUUCCACUUGAAAACCUAUAUUGCCAAUAUUUAGAUGCACCAAAAAUUCAUAUAUUUUCUUUGUCAACAACAGUAUGUACGGUUCAAAGCAACUCUCCCUAACUGUCAUCACUCUAUUAUCUGACUAAUAAAAAUUUUCAAGCCUCAGAACAGAUGACAUAAUUUCUGCUAAUCUACCUAAACAUAAAACAUCUAAGUUGACUUCUUGUAUCCCGUCAUGUUAAAAGUAGCCCCCCAGUUGAAAAGUUAUUUGGGUUUGUCAACGAUUUAAGGGCAGGUUCAUUUUCUACUUUCUAAGAUAGUAUUCAUACUGCUAAUAUUUAUUUGAUUGACUGGAAAACGAAUGCCUAGUUGAAGAAUCCUUUUUUUUUUUUUUUUUUUAUUUGAUUGACAAACGAGGUUGAGGGGACCCCUACCCCUUUUAAAUUACGUGAGGAAACUUUUUAUCAAACAAUCAACUGCUGAUGUUUUUCGAGCCCGCAAACUCUCCACUUUGUGAGAGGAAUGCAUUGCUUUUUUUCUUUUCUUUUGUCUAUGAUACAACCACAAAAACUCUUAAAUCAUCUGGGCCAGAUUGAAAAUCCUUCUUCUGGAGUUAAACUCUUCACAAAAUAAGAUACAACACUGUAAUCGGCAAACUGUGGUGGAAGAGAUUAUGGCAGUCUUAGACUUCGUGAGCUUCACUUAUGUUACUCAGUUAUACAUCUCUAACAAAACUGGCUUUAAUUAUCACUAAUGGUAAACUAAAAUGCCACUCGUCGAACCCAAUUUUGAAGCCAAGUACUACAAAGUACAGACAUCAAAAUAAUAUUGACGCUGAAACUUCUUCUAAUUCAUAUUGGGGUUGUCUUAAACUGGGCUUACAAAUGAUCUAUUGGAGAUGGCAGUCAGGUCAGCUUUUACCCUGAACCUUUACUUUCUUUAAACUUAGGCUAUAAUUCUAUAACCCAUUCUGGAUUGCUAAAGUCGGUUUUAUUUACCAGAAUUCUGGGAUGUAGAAUUAAGAUAUUUUUUUUUUUUGCAAAGAAGCAAGCUGGGGUUUGGCAGACCCCUACCAGUUUAUUAAAGAUAAAAAAUGUUUACACUAACAUACAAUUCACCUAGAGCAUCCUGGCCAAGGUAGUUGUUCAGUAGCUCUUCACAUGGACCUGUAAACAUACUAAGUUCAUCCUUUCUGUUACAUUUUCCUGUCACAAAAUCUCCACACCUAUUUGUUUCUCUAAAAAUGUGCCUGAAUGUGAUGGUUUGAAACUCUUGUUCCAAAUGUUUGAUCUUGUUAACAUGUGGCCUUGCCCUCAAUGAUGCCUCCAGUAGAAUCUAGAUUUGCUGAGAUGAAAUUUAAGAUUACCUUAUGGCUCAACCAUUAAGUUAUACUAGCAACUGACAAUACUUUGAUUUGGAUUCCUCGUCAUCCUGGUGGUGUUACACUAAGAUUUGUGUAACAUUUAGCCCCACGACAUCACUAGACCUAGGCCAAAUUCUUUUCACAAGUUGAAAUAUCGAUGGAAAGACUUUGUGCCUCUAGCUAAUAUCGAUGGAAAUAUUUUAUAGAUUGCCUAUUCGUAUAAAAUUAGAGGAGAAAAUGAAGCAAAAUGAUCCAUCUGUCCUCUCUGGUGGAAGCUGUUAAUCAUAUUUUUUAAUUUUUCAAUUUGAACACACUAAAAUUGAUUGGGAUGCAUCAUGCAUGGCAUUUUUCAUUAGACUCCCCUAUUCCCUCUUAAUGCUUGAUUGUGUGAUCGCACAUUGGCAUUGCAGAUGACUUAUAACUAUGUCAAUUCUCCCCAGUAGUGAUUUGCAAUCCUAAUGGCAUGUUGCUAAUCGUGGGUUGUUGGCAAUCUUAAACAUAGCCUCUAGCAUUCUGAUAAAUGUUUGAUGGUUCACACAAAUAGCAUGUCCAUAGAGAGAAGAAAAUGAAAUUUAGAGUUAUAUGUAGUGCGCAAGAACUUAUAUUCAAUGAGGAAAAAAAAAAUUAAAAGGAAAAAUAUCACAUUACUGGACUUAUCAUGUUCUAUAUCUACGUUGAAGAUUAAAAUAGAUACAAAAAUUAAAAAUUACAAGAUUUGAUAAUAGUAUGGAUAAACAAACAAACAGACUUACAGAAUAGUUGUUGUUGUAACAACUUGUAGCAGAAUGAGAUGUGAGUACUAGAGGGGAAUUACUACUACUAGUGAAUGAUUUCCCCAUCCCCAGCAUUGCUUGCUUGCUUGUUUCACUGUCAAUUGUCAAUUGUCAAUUGUCAUAAACCAAACAAACAAAAUGAAUUGCCAAACUACUAAACUGAUUCUUAGAAACUACUGUACUACUAUACUAAACCUUAAAGCGAUUAAUCAAAUUUUUUACCUAAACCCUAAACCAAGAUCAAUCUAGCUAGAAUAGAUUCAGGGAUUUUGAAUUGAAUUGAAGUGCAACUUUUGUCAACUGUGUGUGUGACUGUGGGUGGGUGGGUCCCACUUUAGCGUUUCAGGCACUUGCACCUCACACUUUAUUUAACGAACGAACGAACGAACAAACGAACGAAAGAACGCCCCAUUUAAAAGUCGUGUAUACGUAUUUUUAAUUGGUCGGUCGUUCGUUGGUUCGUUUCCCAUCUUUGUUUUGUUUUGUUUUGUUUUGUUUGUCAACUGUUGUAUGUAUGUAUUCAACUCUUUUACACAGAUAGAGAGCUACUACAUCUCAUCAUCAUCCAUUCAUCCCAUCUUUUAUAUUCUAGUUGAAUUAAUUGAAUAAAAAACCCUAGAACAAGAAGAAGAAACAAUUCGAAUUUGAAUUUGAGUUGAGUUGAGUUGGAUCAAUCGAUUUACAACUCUUAUAUCUCAAAACCCUACUACUACUACUAAUAGUCGUCAAAGCAGAGUGAAGAGAGAGAAGAAGAAGAAGAAGAAGAUGAUGAUGAUGAUGAUGUAUUGCUAUUGAAUGGCUCAAUACAGACAAUCAUUUUCAUCAGCAGCUGGAGAUCAAGUUUCUUUAGGAAUUCGAAUUCCUAUAUCACAUAAUAAACAAAGUGGAUUUCGAAAUCGAAGAUCUAAUAAUCGUACUUGUUGUGAUAAGAAGUGCAAUAAGAUCUCAAUUGGUGCAAUUGCUGUUAUUCUCUCUUGUGGUCUUCUUGUUACUAUCUUCACUUACUAUCGUAUUUCCAUUCAUGAUAAUAAUAAUAAUAAUAAUAAAGGUAUAUAUGCUAUUCCCAUUUUCCAUUUUUCAUCUUGUUUGAUUUUUUAGUUGACAAUUAAUUAACCAUUUCCUCAAACAAAUAAUAUUCAUAAUGCAUUCAUACCAUUACUAAAGUUCCAGGGAUGAUGAGUUCAUUAAACUGCAAGUGUUUUUCGUUAUUUUCAUCUGUGGUAGGUUACACUUGUUCUUUUGUAUAUUCAUGCUGUCUAAUUUUGAUGCAUGUUAUGUUGUUACUCAUUUUCUAGACUGUUUGCAUUGCAAAUCCAGUAACUUGCUUCAUUCUAAGUUUGGACAUAAACUUUACCUUUGUUGUUUGCAGAAUUAGAUAUUUCUAAUGUUCUCAACAAUGACUUGGAUAUUAUUAAUGCAAAUCUAACUCAGACUAAGACCUCCAGAGUUCUCAAGUUUGGUCAUGGUUCCAUUGCCCAUGGACGAGAUUCAAGGUAUUGGGACAGAGAUGACAGGAGAAGGGAUGACGAUUACAAUGAGAGAGAGUCAGAAAUUGGUAACACUCGUGGUCAGGAGACUAUAAACAUUCAACAUAAUAAAGAUAAGACUCAAACCAAACAUCCCAUUGUUGAUAAUUCUUCAGGAAAGUCGAAUGGGAAGUUAAGACUUGAUCAAACAAAUGUGGGAUUGUACAAUGAAGCUGGGCGUGAUGAACUAAAACAUUAUGAAGCCGAGUACGAGGCAUCUCUUAAGAAUGUUGGCCAAUUAAGACAAAUGAACAGUAAUGGUAAUGAACAUGACGGAAAAUCUAAUGGCGUGGACUUGGAAUCACAAAUUGAAGGGGCUGAUGUUGACGACGAAUACGAUGAUGGUAUUGAUUCUCUGGAUGCUCGUGUCUUAGAAACUGAUGUUACUAAACAUGACAAUGAAGCUGAGUCUGAUGUUGACAAAGGGCAGGGUGAUGAUGCUGGAGAUCCAUCUGAUGAGACUAAACGUGCAGUGACUGAUGAAUCUGGUAAGGCCUCUCGAGCAUGGACUUCUGAUUCUCAGAGUAGUGAUAAAGUGAAAUUGGAUUCCAGGCAUGUCAGUUCUAUCAGUGGUCGUCCUACAAAAAGAUCCAACCUUGAAAAGAGGUCAAACACAAGAAGAAGACCUAGACGCAAAUAUUCUGGUAAUUCUCCUUUCAUAUCUAUGGGUAACUUUUUUUUCUAGACGAAGAAUUACUGUAUAAUAAUAGUGAAUGAUCGUUGUAUGUGAUUUUAUGAUCAAAUAACAAUGAUGAUAUAUGUAUUGAUAUCAAUGAUGAUAUGUUUAUAAAUGGUGCGGUAAGUAUCUUCCUUUAAAUAAUUGUUGCUUCAAACCAUGUGAAGAAUAAUCCAACAAGGAAAAAUAAUGUAUAUAGGUAAAACCGUAAAACAGCUUUCUGCACAACCCACACGAGUUAAGAAACCAAUUCUAAAACAAUAUUAAAGGGGAUUCUAUUUUACAAAGACAAUCAAUCUCCGGUAAACAAAAAUGAGAUCUUUAGAAGUCCUUUCUAAUUAUCUCGUUAGAGAAGGGAGACUGAUAGCAGUGUAUUUUCCAUCUCUCCCUCUUUGAUCUUAUAUAAGCUGCUCUCGGUUUCUUCUCCAUCCAUCUUAGUUACUGGCUCCUACCUAAAGGGUAAUUUUACCAGUUAUCUGAACUGGAACUAACACCGAUGGGCCCUUUAACUUCUCUUAUUACGUGUCAAUCAUCAUUUUGUGACAGAAAGUUCUUAGUUAUAUGCAUGUUAGGGCUUAGUAACGGAGAAACAUUACCAAUUGCAUAGUUUUUUCACAGUCGAUAGCCUUGAGAUUCACUAAAUUAUGUUCAUGUAAAGCCGUUUUUAAGGUAAAGGGCAAAUGCUUUCUGAAGGAUUCACUGAUGAUUAUUAAACAAGUGCUUAAUAUAAUGGAAAGACUAUUUUUGACUAUUAUGGCACUACUAGUAGGAAGCUGUAUGUGGUCACCUCAUCCUGCUUAGUUGCAGUGUUUAGGGUAGACAACAUUGCUUGGACAGUCCAGGCUCGUCGGAACUACCAGACUUCUGUUAUUUUGCAAGGAACUCUAUAGAGAUGGUUAUAUGUAGGACUGAUAUGCUCUUUUGGACCAGCCAUCUCAUUGGUUAAAUGAGACCACAAGCUGAGGUGAAGGACUAUUUUUGGUUCAUGGCUGUUCAAAUGACCACAAGCCUCGCCCAAAUGACAAAACGACUUCAGCUGCAGGAAACCUUGUUAGUCUCAUUAUUUUGAGGCAGGGGUUUACCCUCCCUACGGUUAUCUUAUAUUAAAGGAAGGUGUAGAGAGACGAAAACUUUUUUUUUUCUUGAGCGUGAGAGAAACAGGAGGGAGGUUUAUUGAACCUUGUUUGAGAAAAUGUACUGUUCAUCAUCUUCUUCUUCUUCUUCUCAUAUUUUAAAACAAACUAUUACUGCAUUGUCGAACCACAUAUAUGUGUAUGCUUUUUGUGAAUGUACUUGAUUCUAUUUAUUUUGUUCUAGUUUGCUGCAAACAGCCAAAAUGGUUCUGGGGUUUGGGUUGAUCCCCAUAUUUGUUGGACUGCUUGAGUAGCAAGCAUAUCACUCUAUAAAUAUGAUGUCUUGUGAUCAGUUAGUUGAUUAUCAGAAGAAAAAACAAUAUUUUCGAUGAAAAAUCAAUUUUGGAUGAAAAUUUGAAUUGGGGUAAGAGAAGAAGAAAGGGAAAAGAAGAAGAAGAAGUGGAGAGGAGUUUUGCUUAGAGUAAACUGUUAGUCUGCCGCUAAGAGCAACCUGGUAAUCUGUUAUCUUGUAUGCGGAAGAAACUUUAUACAAGUUGGACACCAUUUGAAAAGUUAAAUAUAAACUCGAUAAACAGAAGGAAUUUCUCAAAAUUUUGAUAUAUACACAAACUACUACAGCUGUAUUAUAAUUAGCAUAAUUGUUAGUGUGAGUAUAAUUAUGAUUUUUUCUCCGUUAUGUGUGACACGGCGAUAUUCAUUCUUUGUAGGUUCCUCUUGUCAGAUGAAGUUGUUAAACUCUAGUGCACUGCUGGUUGAGCCUAUAGAGAGUAGAAAGUUUUCAAGAUUUUCCUUGCAGUACACAGAUGUGGAAGAGAAGCCUAGUGGGGAUACACAAUGGGAGCCUAGAUUUGCCGGUCAUCAGACUCUCCAAGAAAGGGAAGAAUCAUUUUUUGCUCGUGACCAGAAAAUAAACUGUGGAUUUGUAAAAGGCCCGAAAGGAUUUCCAAGCACUGGAUUUGAUUUGGCAGAAGAUGAUGCAAAGUUUAUGAGUAGUUGCCACAUAGCUGUAUCUUCUUGCAUCUUUGGAAAUUCAGAUAAUCUUCGAACGCCGUAUGGCAGAACGGUAUGUGAUGACUAAUUGUGGUGUUCCUUUAUAUGAUAAGCUUGUGUUUUAACUGAGGUCCUAGUUCAUAAUUAUUCAUCACUACAUUCUGUGAUGAAAUGACUGAUCAUUAUAGCUACAACUUUUGUUAGAAUAUUGAACACCUUAACCAUAGCAACAAAACACCAACUGGGCAGCACAUUAGAAGAAAAAAAAAAUUUAUCAAGAAAAUUACAACUUUUGUUGAGAAGUCCUGGGAGAUGUAUUGUGGCAGCAAUAGCAUUUUGUUGUUGACUUGUUUCCAGAUGACUUUCCUAUCCAUUGAUCAACUGGUAAUUGUUGCAUUAUUGAACGUUGCACUGUAAAGUAAUUAAGCAUUAUACUCUGUUCUUUGUCUCAUCCAAUGAGAAUAUGGCGACGUGGAUUGUAGUUGCUGUCGUUAUUGCAACUAGUAUAGGUUUAUGCUCUUAGUAGACUCACCUAAGCAAACCUAAAAGGACUUUACAGCGAACAGUUGCAUAUGUGCUCUUUAUUUUGUACAUAUGGUGUUUGUCAUUUAUUUUGUACAUAUGGUGUUUGUCAUUUAUUUUGUACAUAUGGUGUUUGUCACAUGGGUGAAAAUAUAUCAAUUAGACUAACCUUAACCGAAUUUUAUUGGAAAUAUUUUUUCCAAGGCAAUCUACUUAAAGGUAUGUUUAGAGGUUCUGAUUGGUAAUUCAGCUUCCAUGCCUUCUCAUCAUUGCAGGUUACACGUUUGUCAAGGAAAAAUGUUUGCUUUGUUAUGUUCGUGGAUGAAAAAACAUUGCAAACACUAUCCUUGGAAGGGCAGAAGCCAGACAGAAUGGGAUUUAUUGGAUUGUGGAAGAUUGUGUUGGUGAAAAAUUUACCUUAUGCUGACAUGCGGAGAGUGGGCAAAAUACCAAAAUUUUUGACACAUCGACUCUUUCCUUCAGCGAGGUAUGAUAAAUUAAUUAUGUUGAAGCCACUGUUUCUAAUUCUAUAUUUAAGUCAUAGAAUUAUUGCACUUUCCCCAGUAUCUGCUCCUGAAAAUGUACAUAUCAUAUGCAUCAAUUCUUUACUGCAAGCAUUUUGAAUUAGAAUUGAUAGAUUUAGAACUGUCAUCUUAGGUUUUGGCAUAUUUUAUCACCCAAAGUCCUGUGCAGGUUUGAUCUUUUAUUGACCUGUGUAGUGGUAGGCUUAGAAAACUGCAAUUCCUUGUCAUAGUCAUUGACUUUGUCAAGCAUGGAAUGUCUUCUUUUUGCAACUCUAUAGAUAGGGUAGUUCAAAUGAGUUGAAUAAUGGAUCUUCUGUAAGGGUGAUGUCCAAGGUGGGGAGAUCUUCCCCACAAAAAAACCUUUUAUUCAUUCUGUAGGUCCACAUCUGGGUAGUGGAAUUUAGGCCACGACCCGAAUUUUAAAAAAUAAAAUAAACCUAGGCCGUAACAAUUUCUAACUCAAAAACCAGAUCCACACAAAAAUCUUAAAUAAAAUACAUCAUUGAAAUAUCUAAAGAUCUCUACUGGUCCAACCAAGCGGUCUGCCACAGCUCCAUAGCUCUAAUCUAUCCUGCCUGCAUUCCAAAUGGAAUUCCAAAUGGAACACACCACGUGCAAAACAAAGCAACAUGGGUCAGCAUAAAAGCUGGUAUGAGUAAACAAAGGGGAAAUCUAUUGCCACAAAAUAACAUAAUAAAUAUAAAGUUCCAACAUAUGAUUAACUUUAAAGAACAAAUUUUCAAUGCUAAGACAAUAAACAUACGCCAAAAAUCAUAUCAAUUCCAUUAUAUAUUUAAACUCUUUAUCCAUUAUAUAAUCACAUGCUUAAUUCCAUUAUUCAAUUCUAAUUUAUCUAUUUACGAUGUUCAUUGAUUGAUAAUACAAACACAUUACCUAAGCAACAACUGUCUUUAAGGAUAGGUCUAUCCACCUGCACAAAAUAAAUUAGUUGACCUAUCCACCUGCAAAAUGGAGUUAAUACAUAAUAGACAAAUAUAAUAAAGAUAAACCAAAUCACAUACACGUUACGUGUUAUAUAAUACUUUGUAUCAAUCUGAAAAUACAUUCCGUUAAUUCAAACCAUUCAUAAUGACUCAUUCCAACUCUUCAUAGUUUGCAAUCUACCAAAAUGACAAGUCCAAUUAUGACUAUUAAUUCUCAUAAUAAAUAAAACAUCGCAGUUCUUCCACAUAAUCAUUCCGGUUCAUAAUCAAAGUAUAUAGAAUUUACCCAUAUCAUUAGUUAACACCAAGCACUACAAUACCAUAAGCCUUAGCACACUACCAAAUAAUGAAUCCAAAGUCACAAAACCACGUCCUGGUCUCUAGCCGGUGCUCGGGUUUAACAAUCAUAAAAAUCACAACCUAUGCCCAAUCACUAGUAAACCUCCCACAGGAUGCACUCCACACAUUUGCCAUACCCACAUUGCACCAGUGUGCCUUGACCAUGGUUAAGAACCUCUACGCGGAAACCAAAACCCAAGUGGGUGCUCACCUGCAAGCUUUGGUUAGCCUCGACGUAUGCCUAACUCAUGAUCUCUAAUACCUCCCCUUCGCUUUCUAAUGUGGCGCCCAGACCAACCCCAAAGGCUAAGAAGGUCUGAAGGGUCAGUUCCGCAGGUUAUGCCGCCUAGGAAAUACCCAAAUAUAAUCCAAGAGUCAACCCGCAGGCUAAGCCGUCUAGGGUGAUAAGUAGUUUCUUUAACCUAAUUCCAGAGGUGCGGCAAAUGUACUAAUGUUUGGGCAACAACUAAAACUAACUAACAAACAAACUAGCAUUACGUGCCAAGACAAUUAAACACAUUAAUCUCGUAUUCCAAAACAUUUUCAUUAUCCCAAUUUAAUAUACCGUCCAUGGUAUCAAACUAUUCCAAAUCAUUCCAUAAUUAAAUCCCAAGUUCAGUAUUCAUUUCGUUUCUAUUCAUAUACCAUCCAUUGGUAUGGAGCCAUUCCUAGGCGUUCAUCAAUAUAACUUUUCAAAUUCCUUUAAACAUACUUAAUCAAGUAUCAUGCCACGAUACAUAGUCAACUUCAAUAUUUGCGAUACUCUUAGUCUAACUCAAGAACAACCAAAAUAAUCAAAUGGAUAAAUUGACCAACCUAUAAGAUAGCAUUUAUGCUAAAAAAGAAAUCUUUACACAUCAAUCUGCCAAACAAUAACAUUGAUUUUUCAAAAUUCCUCGAUUUAAAGAUGCUCGUUGUAAUUAGAUAAGUUUAGGAUAUAUCAUUGUACUAUCAAUAUUCUACUCGCUAUAUAAGUUUGAAACCGUUUCAGUAUGGGAAAAUAAUAACAACUGUUUUAUUCACUCUUUACCAGAUUCCAGUAACACUAUUAAUCUAUGUCAUACUUUUCGCAUAUUUUAAGCCAUUUUACCUUCACAAUUCAAAAUACUUCUGAACUUAUCAACUGUAGCCUUGAAAGUCUACUUUUCAGAACAAACAAAAUCAUUCAAAAAUACCAAAUAACGAAUUUUCUAUAUAUUUUCUACCACAGCCACGCAAACAGAAAAGUAGCAGUAAAAUUAUACUGGAUAUCUGAAAACAACUGCAUUGAAUAAAUUAUUCAGAAUUAAUUACCCAACGGAAAAAUCUGAAAUUUAUAUAUGUUGUUAUACAUUAAGUAUUCUAACUACCAUAAAAUUUUCAAUAAAAGUUAUUAAGUCUAGGGGCAUCAAAACCUUGCGAUACUGAAACUGUACAAGAAACCAAAAACUGCAACAGUUGCCAUACUUGCAAGUCCCUUUUCACCAAAUUAAAAUAACUUUCGUAAAUUGGUCUUAACUAAUCGAAUGAAGACCCUUCAAUCUACUGUCUAGGGUUUUUAAAACUAAUUAAAAAUCUUUUCAAACGAAUUUUCUAUGAUUUUUCAAAGACGAGUUAAAAAUCUGAAAUUACUGAAACAUGAAUAGAAAAAAAAAAAAAAAAAAAAAAAAACGUCAACUCACUUGUAUAAGCAUAAAAAUCCAAAUCUUCUUCUAGCUUUCUUCUAAUUCUUUUUCUUCUUCUCCCAAAUAUGGUGUUGUAAAAAAAAUGAAUGAAAACCCUAAGAUAUAAAUAAUAUGGAGAAGUUAAUGGGCUUUAUUUUUGGACCAUAAAUGAAUUUGCUACCCAACCCAAUUCUAUCUAAUUCUAUUUUUUUUAAUAAUUAAUAUAUCAUCCUUCAACUUAAUAGAAAAUUAACUCUAAACCCUUAAAGACAUGUAUGCAAUAUUUCAUAAUCCAAUAAAAUUUAAAGAAUAAAAUUUUAUAAUAUAAACGGGGUUUUACAAGCACAGUGUUUCCCUGAAACAAAAUGUUUAAAUGGCUAGGUCAAUGUCUGAACUUAGUGUCGGCAAGCUGCAAUGGUACAGGUGUAAAGAACACCAGUGUGAAGGUAAAGAAAUAGUAAUUUAAUAUGUGGUGGGUGUCGACACGUGGUAAAGGGAGGAAGUGAUAUAUUUUAUAAGUUUUGAAAUGAAAAUGUUGUAACUUGUGAUCAGUGGCGUAGCCAGGAAUUUUGAUGAGGGGGAGCAGUGUUGCACCCCAAAUCAAUAUUUUGUGAAAUUUUACAGUAUACAAAAUAACCAGAAAAAUACGAUUAUAAAAUUAUUAAUUUUAAUUAAAAAUACUAGAUUAAUUUUUUUUUAACACAAUUCAAAAUUGGAUCACACAAAAUUAUUAUUUUUUAAGAAUAAGAUAUUAAUAAUUUAACAGGUGAAAAAUUAAAACCAAUUUCAUUACACAAAAUAUUAUUAGUGGCAAACCUAGGUGUAUAUUGAACUACUGGAGUAGUGGACAUCAAAUUGAUGAUGGGUAUGACAUUUGACAUAGCAUAUUAGAAUUGAUGUGGGUCCCAUUAUAAACCAUAUUUAUACGUGGAUUCGAUAUCGAUAUUAUUAGCCACUUUUUAUGGCUAAUGAACUGGCCAAAAAUAUAAAGGACUAUGAGGACCUUACCAACAUUAACUUCAAAGAAACAAGGAUCAGAAAUUAGUUGAUUAUCAAGGAUAUAUUGUGAUGCAGUCGUGCAUAAAGAUAUGUACUUUGAACCGAAUUCAAAGAACUACGACGAUUUUCGGGAUUCGACAACCAAUGUUCUUAACCAAGAACUCACACAACGAGAAGACUCUUCUCAAAACACACAAUUCAAUUAACCAAUCAACACUAACUUGGCCAAAGGCCCAC